UUUAUAAAUUAAAUAAGAAGUAUUUUAGGAAAUAAAAUUCAAUAAGUGGUGUUGUCUAUUACGUUUCAGACAGAUCACCAAAACUAUUGGUGUGUUAAACUUCACUUACUUUCAAAUCUUAUUGAAGACAACAUGAAUUUGAUCCAACUUAAUGCUAGUUUAUAUGAUGUUGGUUUAAUGCCUAUGUUGGGGGUGUCAAUGCCUUUGCAUUCAACCAUUUCAACUAUAGACAACAGAUCUCUGAUGUAUUUUCUUUGUGAUAAAUAUACACAAUGUGCGUCUUGCGACACUUUAAUUCCAAGGAAAUAAGAUAAUAUUCCUAGGUCUUUUAAGGCAAAUGCUUUCCUAAACUGAGUUAUAAAACUUUUUAACUUUAUAGUACUUGGACUUGUAAUGAGUGUUUCUUCUUAUGAAAAGAGAGGCAUCCAAAUUAAUAUUAAUAAAACCCCAAUGCAAUAAACAGCUUUUCAGCUUAUCAAACUAAGCUCUAGGAACUUGUUUGAGUCUAUAUAGACAUUUGUACAAUUUGCACACAAAUUCAGGUUUCUCAGCAUUAAUAAAGCCUUCUGGCUAACACAUGAAUACCUCCUCAGUUAACUCUCCAUUAAAAAAGGCAUUGUUAACAUUAACUUGCCUUAUUUUCCAUUAGUUCAUCACUCCUAGGCUCAGCACCACUCUAAUAAUAGCUAAUUUAACCACUUGACUGAAUGUUUUAAAGUAAUUCACCCCUGCCACUUGCUAAAAUCCUUUUGCAAUAAGCUUGGAUUUAUACUUAGCUACACUUCCAUCUUUGUUAUACUUGAUCCUUCACACCCAUUUAUUGUCAGCAACGUCAUGACCAGCUUGUCUUGGAACUAAUGUCCAUGUAUUAUUCUUAAUCAAAGCAUCAUAUUCUUCUUUCAUAGCUUGCAGCCGUCUGGAGUCAUCUAAUGCCUCUUGCACAUUAUCUGGUUCUUUGUGAAUGAGAGUAUCAGUUGUUGUGUCUUUUUUUUUCAUUUUGUUUAUUCAAUAACCACAAAACUGAUGUUGGAGUAUCUUCCAGCAAAUUAUAUACAAAACAGAAAUGUAAGUACAGUAAUAUUAUAUUCUUAAAUUAUGUCUACAAAUACAAAGUAAAUUAAAAUAAGAUUAAUGAAAUAAUAAAAAUGUAAAUAUUAAUGAUAGAUAAAAAAAAUAUGGGAUAUGAUAGUAAUGCCUUAGUAAACAAUAUUAUAGUAUAUGGCAAGUCCAGCUAUUUGAAGAGAACUUUAAAACCAUAUGAAUCUCAAAAAUUACCAAAAAUAAACUUUAUUAUACACUAAUUAUUCCGUGCCAUUUUCCUGAGCACUUUUGUUUAUUUUAGGAACGCAUACUUAAACAAUCUGAUCAAGCAUGAAAGCAUUUUCGAUUCAUGGAAGGUAACAACUUUGGAGAUGAUAUUUUGGUUUUGUGGUAACUUAACAUAUAUAAAAUAAAAAUUGCCAACUGAAAUUGAAGAUGCAUGCUUACUGAAAUAUUCAGAGAAUACUAAGCUGGCUUCUCCCUUUAUUUGAGUUCACUAAAUGGAUCCUUGAGGUUAUGGUUCCUCAUCACCUCAACAUAUGCAGCAAGGCUUUGCCUUGACAUUGUUGCUACAUCCCUCUUUGAUGCAAAAAAAAUUUGAGGGGAUCUAUUCAGAUUAUGAGUGGUAAAGCGAUUCCAUUGGAUUGUAGUUUUGUCAAACUCCUCCAUAUAAACUGGGUGGAUAUCACACCUCUCACCUCCGAUCCUGGCCAAAACACACCCCUGAGAAGUUACAUAAUUUAUGAUUAUAGUCCUCAAAGCAUUUGUACUUUUCUUGGGAAUGAAUGGAAAAAAUAUUAUCUAUUUAUUACAGCCCACUGUAUGAUUUUAAAGUUUUCCCAGACUUUCCCGCACUUUAAAAUUCUGGACCUGAAAACUACUCUAUUUGGCAAUGACACAGUCCACAAAGCAUUUGUACUUUUCUUUGGCUACUAACGCAUGAUAGAUUGAAAACGAAAACGAAGCUAAUGAGGAGGCAUAUUCCAAUAGGCAUUAUAUAUGAUCAUUAUGUUUUUUCGGUGAAGGAUAUGUUGCAUGAUCUUAGGGAUUGGAUCGUUGAAAAAAGACUUUGGAAUUGAUUCCUCCCUGUGGCACAAUGCCAUCAAUUCUUUUCUCUUAAUCUAAAGGAAUGAACUUGUCAAAAUCUAUUGCGUAAAAGGCUGUUGGGUUCAAAUUUGAAGUGGAGUACUUGAGUACUUUGUUUGGAGCUUUGCAAGUUUGUUAGUGAACAUCAAGCUUGUUUGGCAUUGUUAAAGUCUUGAAAAUAUGACAGGUGACCUUCAAGUAGUUGGAAGAGUUAAAAAGCUCAACAAGGAAAAUUACAAUACAUGGGCAACAUUGAUGGAGUCUUGCUUACAGGGUCAAGAUCUCUAGGAGAUUGUUUGUGGUAAUAAUAUGAGACCACCAACUGAGGAUGCCGCUUUAAAGAAGUGAAGCAUUAUAGCUGGAAGGCCAUGUUCGCCAUCAAGACUACAAUUGAAGAAGAAAUGCUACAACACAUAAAAAAGGUUAAAAUACCUAAGAAAACUUGAGAUACUUCUACAAUGAGUUUUUCAAAGAAGAAUAACAUAUGGCUACAACUUUUGAAAAAUGAGCUACUAUCAAUUUCAUAAUGAAACAUGACGAUUGACGAAUACUUAAACAAGUUAAAGCCUCUAUGCUAUGAAAUUUCUGGGUUAGAUUCUACUGCUGUAAUUUCUAAAUUUAGAAUAAAGAGAAUUAUUGUCAAUGGGUUGAGGCUUGAGGCUUGAGCUUAAGAGCUUUGUUACAGCUAUCUAAGGUUGUCCAACUCAACCAACCAUUGAGAAUUUUGAAAACUUACUUGCUGAUCAAGAAGUAAUUGAUAAGCAAUUGAGUGGGGCCUUAGUAAUGGAUGAUGAGGAAGCGUUUUUUAUUGAUAACACUACUAGAAAAAUGUCUUUCACUGAUACUAAGUUGUUGAUACUAAAUAAAAAAGUAUCAGUAUUUGAUGACUUAAGUAACUUUUAGUGUAUUUUACAUAUUAGUGCCAGUGGUUAUUAAUAAUAUAGUAUCAUAAACUUUUACUGAUACUAACAUAUAUAUUUUUAAUUUUAAUUUUAAUUUUUCUUAUUCCAAACGACGUAGUUUUACUUUUAAAAUUAGGGUAUCUUAAAUUCAACACAUGUGAAAUUUUAUGGCCUUAACGAAUGUACUAUUCGUCUAUUCCCUCUUCAUCUUCCCUCUCUCCCGAAUCCUUCCCACUCAUUUCAAGAAACCCUAAAUUGAAACAAAACAAAUCACCCAGCCUUUUCAGUCUUAACAAAACAAUUACGGGGUUUUUAAUUAAAUACCCUUUAAUAGUUUCAAAAUUAUUUAAAUACCUCCUCCCUUUUUUGUUUUCAUAGAUACCCUAACAAAUGUGAGUAAAGUCUGAAAUGUCCCUAAUGAAUGCAUCAAAUUCACUCAACUUCAUUGUCUUUAUAUUUCUUUCACCCAAAUCUCUUCUUGUUGCCGAAAUUCUCUCAAAAUCUCCUAGAAUCUCUCAAAAUCUCUCAUAACUUCUUACACAAAUACAAUUAUAUAUUUAUUUUUUUUAACACCCACUCUUUCUUUAACUGAAAUGAAGUGCAUUACUCAUUAAACAACCCAAUAAGGUAUGUUAAUGUUGUUGGGUUUUAAGUUUUUUAAUCUUUAGGAAAAUUUAGAAAUUUUCCUCACAUUAUAAUGUUUUAUUUUCACCAUUUUUUCUUAUAUGUAGAAAUAUAUGCAAUGUAGGUCGUUUCAUUAUUUUUUUCAGCAAUAUAAUUUAUUUAUGGUGAAAAUAUUUCACGUCGUGCAUUCCUUUUGAUACUGUGUACGUCAUGUAAUUAGUCAUGUAGGUCAUGUAAGUAAUAUAACCGUGUAAGUCGUGUAGUUUAUGUAAGUAAUAUAGUCAUGUAGGUUGUGUAAGUCAUGUAAGUAAUGUAGUCGUGUAAGUCGUGUAAGUCAUGUAAGUAAUGUAGUCGUGUAGGUCGUGUAAUUACUUGUAUAUGAAAUUUGAUAUUAUUAUUUUUGUUGUAUCAUCAGAUAUGGUUUUGGUACGUGUGCCUAUUCUCUUCAAUGGUGAAUGGAUUGAGCAAAAUGAUAAGUAUGAGUUCAAAGGUUCCAAGGCUAAAGGGAUAAUGAUACCACAAUCGACAACAUAUGUCGAAUUGGUGGAGAAGAUAGCUCAAGUUAUUGAUAUAGACACGUCAGAAUUCGAAAUCACAAUGAAAUUCACGCUUAAGACAUUUGAUCGUAUGCCACCAGUUACAAUUCAAACCAAUGAUGAUGUUGAAUUUUUUUAGAUUCCAAUUUAAUUUCACUUCUUUUUUCUAAUAAUUUUCGUUGACAUUUUAUGACACCAAAUCGUGUGUUCAUAAAUUGCAGAAAAAAACUAAAUUUGCACAUCCGACAGUUUGAGAAAUGAUUAAAUUAAUUAGUAUAAAUAAACAAAGUUAUCAGUGCACAAAUUUUUCAAUAUUUGAAUAAGAUACACUAAUGAACAUCGCAAUUAAACAUAUUAUAACCAUUUAAAAAAGCUUUUUUUGUUUUAUCUUCAAAGUGCUUUCUUCCUCUGCCCAAGCAUACAUGAGGAAUGCAUGCAUAUAAUUAAUCCAUGAAAUCAAUUAAGAAAUAAACAUCAACUAUAGGAAAUUAAUGUAAUGUUAUACACAUACGAACACCAUUUGCAGUCGUGUAAUCGUGCAAUACAUGAAGGUCGUGUAAUCGUGCAAUACAUGAAGGUCGUGUAAUCUUGCAAUACAUGAAUGUCGUGUAGUCGUGCAAUACAUGAAGGUCGUGUAAUACACAAUUUUGAAUCUUACAUAACCUUACACGACCAAAUCGUGUGUUACAUGAUAAAAUUAUAAUUAGCACAAUCCAUUAAUUUUUCACAAUUUGCAUGCAGCAAAACAACUAAAAAUUUGUUUUUGAACAUGCUAUGAGAGACCCGUAACUAAUUAAUCUAUUUUUUCAAUAUAAAACCCUAACUUUUUGUUUUUGAACUAGGCUUCUCUUUCUCAGUUGUGGCAGCUUCCCAUUCUCAAGCUCAAUUUGCUCGUGUUGAAGUUCGAUUUAGCAUGUAUGGAGAAUGAAUGUUUGUUUUGGUAGAGGUGAUGCCGGUGAGCGAAUUGCAGAGGUGAUGCUGGUUGAUAUUCGAUUUAGCAUGUAUGAGAAUGGGGGAUGAAUGUUUGUUUGUUUGUUUGAGUAAAGAUAAUGGAGGGAAUUGCAGCCGAUAUGAGUGUUUGUUUGCUUGAGUAGAGGGGGGAGAGGUACUGUCCGUUGAGUUGAAAUGUUUUAAAAUGAGGAUAGUUUAGUAAUUUUGUAUCAGCUUUUAAAGGGUAUUGAUAAAAAUUUUGGCAAAAUUAAAUUUUAGGGUAUUGAGAUAAUUUUUUAAGUAUGGAGGUGUACCUGCUGCAAUUAACUCAACAAUUACUCUCAGUCUCCCAACAAAAUAAAAUCAUCCUAGUUUUACUUUAUGAAGCGUAUGGGUCUUGAUUCUUCGGUCACCACCGAAGACAACCAAAGGAUGAAAAAAGUCAAACAAGAUGAGGAGGAAUAAGAAAGAGGAAGAGCAAGUCAAAGAAACUAGCUUCACAAAUCUAUAUGAGAAUUCCCUGCUCGAGGUGUUGAAACACGCGGACACCAGGACUUCGUUGCAGGUGGCCUUGCGUCAACAAGCUAUGGCACAAGACACUCAAAAUGAGCACCUUUGGAAAUUAAUUUGCACCCACCACUUCGCUAACGUUGGGUGCACUGCCCAACAACUCAGAUCUGUUGUCCUGGCUCUUGGUGGCUCCCGUCGCCUUCACUCCCUCUAUCUCGGUGGCUCCCGUCGCUUUCUCUCUCUGCCAUUCUUUCUCUCACAGUCGAAACCAAAACUCAAAUCCCUAACUCCCCAGCCACAAAACCUCUCAUUUGCCUCAACAAAACAAAAUCAAUCCGUACUCCUUCUCUUUGAUUAUUCGAAAGUUAGAAGCACCUUAAAUAGUUCUCUCUGAAAAGCCAUUCACCCAAACCCUAACCUCACUAAUAAAAUUUUUAUUAAUAGUGAUUUUUUCAAUUAAUUAAGAUAUGGGUUCAUUGGCAGAGAAACAAAGGUUAGUGUUUGCUCUAUUUCUUUCAUCGAUUUUCUUUCUCUUUUUGAAAUUUUUCUAAUUUUCUCUUAAUUUCGACUGUGAUUUUAUUGUUUCUAUAGCUGUAGUUUGAUAAAUGUUUCUUGAUUUGAUGGAAAGCAUGAUUUAUUACAUGUCUGCUUGAGAUAAGCCGGUUAGUAAUUUGUUUUUUAAAUAAUUAUAUGUAAUAUUUGUUUUGAUUCGCAUAUCGUAAACACGAUGUUAUUGCCUACUAACUAAUUAUAGACUUCGAUUUACAUUCACUUAAAUAGGAUAUGAUUAUGUAUCCUUUUUUUUUUUUUUGGCUGUUUGCUGAUUGUGUUAUUUAUAGUGUUGUUAUUGGCGGUUUAUAUGGUGAGUAGGGCAGUAUUUUAAUUGAAACAAUUAAAGAUAUGGGGAAUUAUUAGGUAGAAAGUGGCUGCAGGAGGAGGUUCUCCUAUUGCAGUAUGCCUAAAUAGUAUUCAUUUUGCCCCUUUUUUUUUUACUGCUGACUAUUGUUCCUUGUGAAUGCGUUUCUAAUCCAGAGACUUCGCCCUGUGGUAUCCACUUUGAGAAACUACUCAUCUGCAACUAAACAGGUAAUUGUGCCUUUUAUAACUUAUUACUUGUAAUGCAAUGAUUUUGGCUGUAUGAUGAUUGUAUUCUUCUAUAUGUAUAGGCUUUUAUUAUUAUUAUUAGUGAAUCAGCUGAAUGCUUAAGAUAUUCUAAUACUAAUAGUUAUGUUCUUCAUUAUACUUACAAUGUAUGGAUUUUGAUGCAUUUUAAGAAGAAUAUGAAAUUAAAUAUUUGACUGUAGGGACAACAAAUAUGUUCGAGCUUUUAUUAGUAUAAUAGUAUGUGAAUUAAAAAUAUUAUAAUUUGAACAAACUCCGAAGCUUUGAAACUAUGCACUUUCAUGUUGCUAUUUGUGACAGUGGAUUUUGAUUGCUCUUUGUUAGCGACUCGCUUUUACUUGUUUGCUAAUGUUUAUAAUUCGUCCAUCUCAUUAUACUUGAAAGUUGGUGAUUCUAUGUAAUUUAUAAAUCCAACCGGUAUCUUCUUAUUUAAAUCCGUAGGCCAGAAGCAAAGCAAUCUUUUUAUGCAUUGGCUGUAUUAGUAAAUCACAUAGAUAAAAUCACAGGGUUUAUAUUGUUACUUAUUUCUUUUCUGUUUGCAGGAAAAUUCCUAGGGAUUUGACAGAGGCAUCACUAUCUGGUGCAGGAUUAUCCAUAAUAGCAGCCCUUUCUAUGUUGUUUUUAUUUGGAAUGGUAGGUUGCCACUUGCAUAGUUGUGCCUCUUUUGUCGGAUAUCAUGGGUGCAUUUUGCAUAUUCAGUGUAUAUUAUCGUCCACCUGGAUUGUUUGUGUAACAUGAUGCUUUCAUGGAGUUCUAUUUGGCUUUUCAUUGUUUCUAGAACAGAUUAAAUUUAACAAAAACUAUUCGCAAUUUUUCUGUAGGACCUGAUUUAAGACCCACUGGUUCUGAAUUCCACUCAAUGCUUGUUAUACAUUCGCUUAAGCAUGGAGAGGAAGCUGAUGAUGAUUCUGUUGAAGGUUCUCAUACGCUAACUGCCAAUAAUUUUGAUAGCUAUUCACAUGAGUAAGUGAGCCUUCUCUGAACCACAACUUAUAAUUUUUAUUUUCAAUUCUGUGAUCACAAUAUUUCUCUGCUAUGUGGCAAUUGCAAUGAUGCCUUCUUUGAUUUGUAUUAUAUUUCCUUUCCAGGUAUCCUAUUUUAGCUGUCAAUUUUUAUGAUCCAUGGUGCUACUGGAGUAAAUGCCUGGUAUUUUUAUUUUCACCUUUUGUUUCUCAAAUUUUGUCUUGUUGCUUUUUGAUUAUUGUUGUCUAGAUUUACCUUAUUGGAUCUAUUCUUUCUCAUGUUUGUGUUGAUGUAAUUGCCAGAUAUAAUAUUUUAAAUUUAUUCACUUGGAUGUCAUGUUUGUGCCUGCUCAUAUGCACACAUAUUAAGUUGAUUAACUCCAUUGCUCUGUGCGUCCACUGACAGUUGCACACAAAUUCCUUCAUUACUUUGGUUAACUCCAUUGGUCUCUGUGUUUGUGUUGAACUUUCCAUGCCUGUUAUACAACCAAGCAUGGGUUUUCUUUUGUUUGUUUGACUGUAUUGUUAGACUUCCCCUCAUGAUGUUGUUAAUAAUUUCUCCUCUUUCUCUUGGACAACGGUUAAAAUAAUUUUUAUUGUUAGUAUAAUAUGCUUGUCUUGCAUGCAUUUAUAUGCCAUUAGGAAACUAUGCAGAUUGCAGCAUGUAAAUUUUAUCAGUUUUUUUAUUGUGCAUGUCUUGAAUGGUGCAGGAUGACUUACAAUAAACCAAAGCAUGUAUAUGGGUCAAAACUAAAUAAUUAGAGCAAAUGUCAAAUUGGUACAUGGAAACAAUAAUAGAAGACUUCAUUUCGAUUACCGAAAGAAAGAAUCCGCGAAGCAAUAAACAUGUGUUGGAAGAUUGUGCUGUUACUAUAUAUCAGAUUAUAAAUUAUUUGUAGUUGGUAAACAAUGUAAUAAGUUUCAAACAAUGUAAUAAUUUUUAAAUUGUUCAUUGCAAUGUAAUAGUUUUCAUAUGGAUGAAUGUAAAUUUCAAUUCAAAUGCCAAUUGCAAAUUUUCAAUUUCUAUUAUAUGGAUUUCUAUUUUUUUUUUUAAUUUUUCUCAAAUAAACAUUGAUACCAAAUUAUCGUUAUAUUUAUUAUGCUUUUGUAUCAUUAUUUGUUUGAUACCAUAGUCUCAUUAUAUAUGUGAUGUUCAAGCAUCAAUAUUUUUUUGGUACUAUAGUGACAUAGAUUCGCUGAUACAAAAAACUUGUGUCAGUAAAUUUCUUGCACCGUAUUCAGUGACACUAAACUCGGUGUCAGUAAAACAAGCUCUUGAUAUCAAAAUAGUAUCAAAGAAGGCCAUUUUUUUACUAGUGUAAGAGACAUCGAUUCAGACAACAUAGCAAUGAAGUAAUGUAGGAAGUAUAUUAGAUAAAAUAAAUUAGAAUUUAUUAGGAAUUAUAAUAUUUGGGUAUUUAGUAUUUUAUUAGAAUUUAUCUUAUUUUUUAAACUUAUUCGAUCAUGUUUAGAAUUCUAAUCUAAUUAAGAUUUUAGAUUAUUUAUCUUAUUUAAGAAGGAUUAAGAUUAAGUUGGCUACUUAGUAUAUAUAGGCUUGUUACUGAUAGUUCUUUAUAACAUACAUAAGCUUCUCAUCAAUAAUAUUUAAUAUUUCUUAAUUGAGAUACUUUCUCCUUCGUGAGAGCAUUUUUUCUUGAAUUUUCAAGAACGUAUGUUAUAAUGAAAUUUAGUAUCGCUUAUGCGAUGCGUCAAGUGGUAUCAGAGCCUUUCUUUGUAUUAGGCAGAGCUUUCCUGACCAUCAACCAUUCCCCAUACACAAAUCCUCCCUCCAUCAUCCAUUACUUUCAUUAAAAAAAAAAAAAAAGAAGAAGAAGAAGAAAAAGUCAGAAAAAUAGCAAAACCCGAAGCCACCUCACGUCCACCAUCUCCAGCUGCUGCCUCUGUCAUUCUUCACCUUUUUCAUGCUUUAAUAAAAUUUAACAUAAUGCUCACUAUUUUGUAUAUUAUUAAGGACCAUUGUAUGAUUAAUCAUGAAGUGUAUAUUAUUUUUCACAUUAAUUUAGCACAACCUAUACCAUGAAAUUACGGAUUAUAUUACAGUGAAUACUUUUAUAUGGUAGGAAUAUAAAUUUAAGUUUUACAAGCCUAUUUUCAUUUAAUUUUCCAAUAUCACUUUGUUGAUUUCGUAAAGUUGAAAUUAACAUACAUUCUUAAUUAGUUAUAUAGUUUAUGAAUCAUGAAAGAUUUUUGUUGUUGAUAUUCAUUGAUUGUGGUUACAAAAUUUUAUGUCACUAAGAGGCUGAUUGCAUUUAUGAUGGUAAUUAAUAUAAUAAGUAAAUAUUACCUCCAAUAAUAUUCAUGAAAUAUUACCUAUUUAUUUUAUAUUCUCGUUAUAAAAGCAUGGUUUUGGAUAUUUUAACUUAAAUUUUGACACAAAAAAUGAGCCAUUAAUCUCUCACAAUCUAAUGGUUGAUAUUAAAAGUCAAUGUAAAAUUUUAAAUCAUCCACCAUAGUAACUGAAUUGUGUGAAAUCAAUAAUUUCAAUUUUGUAUUAAAAAUUUAAGAUAAAAUAACUUAAAAGCAAAAGGAUACCUAAACGCCCUUUUGGCUAUAAUACCCUACAUAGGUAGUAACUUUUAAAAAAAUUAACGUUAAAAUAUUUUUAAUAAACACAAAUAUACUUUAAAUAGUUUAUUUUGUCUAAUAGACUAAAAAUAAUGGAAUAUUUGUAAUAUGUAUAAAAUAAUUUUUAAAAUGUAAAUUAUAAUAUUAUUUUAAUAAUAUCUUUUUAUCUAUUAUAUAAUUUUUAAAUAAAUAUUUGGGUUAAAUAGAUUUUACAACUAAUAAAAAAAUCUCAUGUAUUGAUAAUAUUAAAAUUAUUUUAUAUAAAUUUAAAAUAAUUCGAAUCUUUAUAUAUUUAUUUUAAUAUUAUGUUUAUAUCCAUUAUAAAAUUUAGUUUAAUCUAAUAUAAUACUGUAAAGUAUUAAAAUAUUUUUUGAAGAUUAAAAUUAUUUUAAUAUACAUAUGUUUAUUUUAUUUUUUUCCUUUCGGAAGCGAAAGCAAGUCCAUGCCCGACAACUUGGGAGGAGAGGCUAAAGGCAAAAACUGGAACAUUUUUUUUUUAUGUGAUAAUUUCUUCUUUCUAUUAUAUAAUUUCUUUUCAAAGAAUUUGUUAUUUUGUUGCUUGUUUAAUGGUAAUUCGGCAAUUUUUUUUGAAAAAACAGAGUAUCAAUGACUCUUAGGUCUCAAAAGUGAUAAGCUAUCCGCAUAUUUUAAUAUUUAACACACAACAUUAAAUAAUUAGUAAUUCUGGUCUCGAGCCCCUUCAAGUAUACCAAACAACUCGCGCUCAUCGCAUCUAUGUACGGCAUCUUUUCCAGAAAAAACAGAGUAAUAAAACAAAGCAGAGUAUUUACUUCGGUCCUUUACUUUCCUUAAUUUUCACCUCAUGAGAAAUCAAAUCUCAAAAUUCAAAGCUUCGAUUUGAUGGGCCAAGAAUGCAAUUUUGAUUCAUGGAAGGCACAUUCUGAUUCUGUCCAACUUUUUUAACCCAAGCCAGGCAUUUUCUGGUAAUUUAACAGGGAAAUAAGCAGCAAGAACUGAUACAAUAAACAAAUACAAAGAAAGUAAAUGAAAUGCGAUCUGCAGAGAAAAUAAAAUUGAAACUGAGAUGCGCACUUACACUGUUACACGUAGACUCAGAGAAAAUAAUAUUCACUAGGCUGUGCCCUUCAUUCGAGUUGUUUAAAUCUUUUAGGUUGUGGUUCCUCAUCAUCAUUACAGCAGCCACUUCCACUAGCUUCAGCCGCCCCAACAUAUUCUUCAAGACUUCGCUUUAGAAAGCUUCGCUCAGACGACGUUGUUGAUCCUGCAUCAUCCCGGCGGCAACUUCCACUGCCUUCUGCCCUGUCUAAGUCAUCAUUACGGCUAUGCGUAAAGGAUGUUGAUCCUGAACAAUCGUGACCAAAUUCGUUCAAAUUCCAAACCGGAUCAGUUGUUUGGUUGAACUUAUCCCCUUGAUGCACAUAUAUUGGAUGGACACCACACCUCUUCAACUCCAAUCCUGACGGCGAAGAAAAUUCCACUUCACUAAUAUCUUCCCUAUUCUGGUAGUAUAGGAAAAGAUGGUCUGACAUAGCCUGACCGAAUUGCUUUCUCAAAUAAAUGCUACACAUACCCGAGGAGGUAGGCUUUCUAUCUAUGGACAGCUCAUGUACGGGAAGCCCUUGUAUAUAAUAAGGAAGUGAAUAUUUAGGGACAUGAAAAACACAGCACAUAGCAUAUCCCACAAGCUUACUAUUCUUAUACGUCUUUGGAGGCGUGCUUAUUGUUAUUGAAGAACCCUCAUUAUUCUGAUACUCGAACCACUCUGGGAUUUCACUUCCAGGAACAAUUAUGUAACAAUAUCUCAUAUAGUCCUGAAACCUCACAAAUAUAUAUAUAUAUAUUAGAAAGCCAUACCAAUGCAUAAUUUUUAGGCAUAAUUUUAGCAACAGGUGAGAGACAGUGUAAGAAACUGACAUUAGUCUGUUUAAUGUACUUGUCCGACAGUGACAUAUUCUGCAACCCCACGGAAAAAAAAAGUGAGUAAAUAAAUAAAAUAAAAAGACAUAACAUGUAUUGCAUCAGUUUUAGGCAUAAUGUUAGCACAGGUGAGAGUGAGAGACUGACCUCAGAAUUUUUAAUGUACUCUUUCAGCAGUGAAAGCGCCAAAUCAUAGUUGCCAGCCAAUUUCAAGCAAUCCACACAAGGAAGGUGUAAGUACGGGAGUUGAUGCUCGUUUAAAUUUAAUACAUCUGAUAAUGUCUUCAACGAAACACAACCGUCUAACGAAAUCCAAUGUAUACUGGCUGGAAGUCGAGGCAGAUUUUGAAGCAUUUUGCAUUCCUCUAAAUCAAUACUCGAAAGUUUAGAAAGAUGGUAAAUGCUUGCCGGCAGCGUAAAAAAAUUGUUUCCACUCAGAUGUAACUCUUCUAAUGAGCAUAAGUCGCCAAUACUACUUGGGAUUGCUCCUUCCCCUAGAUCACAGUCACUGAUAUCCAAUUUCGUUAAACUACACAAACCUGACAGAGAAGACGACAAACUCAAAGCCACCGGAUCUGAACUCCAUCGCAUCAAAUUGAUAGGGAAGCGCAGAAACCAUGAUGCAGAUGAUGGUGAUCCUUUGCACCCAUGAAAAGAUAGUUCUUUAAGAUUCUUCAUAAGAAAAAUUGACGAUUGAGGUUGCCUUAUAGCUGUACCACUUAUAUCAAGGAUUUCCAAACUUUCUACUUGCCCAAUCGUCUCAGGCACAUUUUCAAGUUUGAAGCAGCCUGAGAGAUUCAAAGUUUUGAGGGAUUUCAAACCAUUUAUACUGCUAGGAAGUCUCACGAGACUUCUGCAGUCAUUCAAAUUUAACAAUUCAAGUCUGGUCAAAAGUUCUAUUGAUGAUGGUACUUCUGCAAUAGAAGUUCCAUCUAAAAAGAGCUCUGACAGAUCUUCCAUACUUAUCACACUCUCUGGAAAUUUCACUAUUUUCGAGCAACCAGAGAGCGUUAGAGUUCUUAGACAUUUUAAGCUGCUUGCAGUAAUUGGAAGAGUCUCGAGAUUUCUGCAAUCCUUCAAAUUCAACAAGACAAGUUUGAAUAGAAGCUUAAUAGAUAAAGGUAGUUUUUUGAUAUCAGUUUCAUCCAAAAGAAGUUCCCGUAGACACUCCAUACUUCCCACAACGCGUGGAAGUUUCCUCAAUUUCAAGCAACCAGAAAGAACAAGUGUUUUAAGCGAUUUCAUAAAUAUCUCACCCGGAAGAGUUGUAAGACUUGUACAACCUUUCAAAUUCAACAAGAUCAGCUUAUUGUGACGUAGUAAAGACUGGUGAAUUUCACGCAACCUUGUACAUCCUUCAAGAUCCAACUCCUCUAAGUUUGGGACCUUUGUGAAGUCUGGUGUCUUAAUCAGAUUCUCUGAAUGGCUGAGUUUCAUGAGUCUCAACAUGUUUAAAGGCUGUUGAAAACAAAAAAGGAGCUAAAAUGAUAUUUCUUAAUUCAUAUACUACUAUAAUAAUAAAACUGUUAUCAACAAUUAUUCUCUCAAAAAUCUAAAUUUGUGACAAAAAAAAAUUGAACUUACUUUGAAUCCUUUCCAUAAUUCUUCAAUGCGGCUGUAACACAUUUUAAAUCCAACAAUUUCAUCCAAUUGCAAAUUUGAUGGCAAAGAUUUCAAAGGAUACCGACGCCAAUCAAGUAAUCGCAACCUGUUAGAGAGAUAUUCUAGGCCUCUAGGAAGUUGCACAUUACUGAUUUUGAGCAGUCUUAGGUUGGUCAUCUGCGAAAAUGCUUUAGCACUUGCACUUAAGUAAACCUCAUUUUCAGGAAAGUAGGCAUUAACUAUUAUUCCUUCCACUACUUCACCUCCCUAAAAAUUAUAAGCAAACAAUAAGUAGAUAAAACAAUAAUGUAAAGAUGUUGAAAAUUCGUCAGAGAUAUAAUUGGGAAAAAUAAAGUAGCAACCAUCAACAAGUUUUCCAUUUAAUAAUUCACUUACCGUAUUGUUUGUCAACACCUGGCGCACUUCUUCUUCCCUCCAUAUUCUGCUACGUUUCCCAGGUUCUUCGGGGGAUUGUCUCGUAACAAUCAGUUGUCCCAAUUCCUGUAACAAAUCAUGCAUCCCCAGUGUGUUGUUGUCAUCAACAGUUAAUAGAGACUUUUCGAUAAGAACUUCUAUUCCAAUGACUGGGGAAAAACCACAUCCCUCUAGAAUUUUUGUUACACCAUCUCUAUUCUUCCAUUUAAAGAAACAUGCAACAUCGAGAAAUAUUUUCUUCUCUGAAUCUUGUAGUCCUUCAAAACUUAUUUGAAGUAUACUCAUAAUCUUAUUUGAAGGAUCUUUUUUUAGUCUUUCUAGGGCACUUCUCCAUAGAUCUGCAGAUCUACCAAUUAGAAAGGAUCCCAAAACUUUUAGAGCUAAUGGAAGACCACCAGCAUACUCCAGAACACGUUUAGACAGCUCCACAUAUUCUCCCAUAGGCUGAUGGCUUUUAAAAGCUUUGGUACUAAAGAAUUGAAGAGCUUCAUCGUUAUUUAGUACAUCAAGGUCAAGAAUAUGCUCUUCAUCCACUUCAUGUGCCACCAACAACUGUCUAUCUCUCGUUGUUAUUAGAAUCCUGCUGCCUGGACCGAACCAAUCACGCCUUCCAACUAACCUUUGUAAUUGUUCAACAUCAGCCACAUCAUCGAUUAUGAGAAGAACUUUUUUCCGUUGCAGCCUACUUCCAAUUAUGUUAAUACCAUCGUAGACAUUCUGUAUGCUAUAAUCUGAAAGCUUCAGUAAAUCAGAAAGAAGCUGCUUUUGUAAAGAGAUUUCAUUGCCUUCUUUUUCAGAUUUUUCUCUAACAUCGGCAAGAAAACUACUCCCAUCAAACUCAUGAGACAUCAAGUCAUAAAAAACCUUUGCAAGAGUUGUCUUUCCUAGACCUCCCAUGCCCCAUAUCCCGAUCAUACGAACAUCAUUAGACCCCAUACCCAUAAGAAACCUCAGUUGCUCCAAGCGUGAUUCCAUUCCUACUAGCUCCUUAAGAAUCUCUGGUUCUAAACGAAUUUUACGAAAUAUGACAUUGGCAAUUUCCUCAAUAAAUUCUGACUCAUUGCUGCAGAUUGAAAACAACAAGAAAAGAUUGGCGUUGUUAAAUUAAAGUUAGUAUGAACGUAGUAGCAAAUCAAUUCCAUAUUGUGAAUAAAAUCCAAACUAUGCAAUAUUCAUUUCAUCAAAUUGAAGCCAUAUAAUUAAAUAAUAUGUUAUUAUUACAUCAGUCAACAACAAUUGGAAUGAGAAAUUCAAGCCCAACCCAAUAAAAAUUGGAUUGGGUUGCAUUGUGAUUGGUAAUUUCAAAAUUUAUAUAUUAAAAUUUAUAUAUUGUUUCUUUCUACAACAGGAUCAGUUAGUUGAAAAGACAAUUUAAAUCAAUUAGAUUAGCUAAAUAUGUAAUGAUAUUGAUAUCAUUCGUAUUGAGAUUAUUGCCAUUGUUAUUAUUAGUAUUUUGCAAAUCUAGGUCAAGAGUCAAUUCAUAGAAGAAAAUUAUAUUAAAAUAAAUAGCAAAUGACAAAACAGAGCAGUUUGCAAGCAAGGACGCGGAUAGAUUAAUCUAGGAAAUAAAUUGACUAAAAUUAUAAUCACAAGCUUAAAUCAUUAUAUUGAGAUGCCUAAGCUUGGGCAAUAAUCUAGGAAUAAAGUUUUAUUUUACUUUUUUUUUUUUUUGCAAAACUGAUAGCACAAAGCAUCGCAGCAUAAAAACAUUUAGUCAUCAAAAGUUCAAAAUACAAUAAUUCAACGUAUCAAUGUCCAUAUCUCUUUGUUUGCAGAUAUUAAUUCAUUUAUAAAUUUUAGAUUAUUCUCCUCAUGAUUUGAAUAUCUUCAAAUCACUCCCUUUUGAACACCUCAAUUACCCUAUUUUUGUUCAAAAGAGAAGGAAAAAUGGGGUGAGUUGAUGAAAUAUUUUUUUAUUCUUAACAAAAAUGGGAGGUAAAUUGAGAUUUUCAAAAUUAAAGGUAUAAUUUAAAGAUAUUCAAUUCAUGGGAGGAACCCUCUUCCUACACAUCAUAUGAUAUAUAUAUGUAUUAAAUAGAAGUUGUUUAAUUGAAAACAGUGUUGAAUGAAAAUCUGUUUUGUAGUUACUAAUCUUGCAAAACAAACAAAAUUAAUAGUUGAGAAAAAGAAUGAUUACCUAUCCUUAAAUUCCCAACCUGAUAUAUUGGCCACCACCUUUAAAGCGUGUCUCCACUUUUGCACUUUUUCUAUAUUAUCCUUGAAAAAUUCUUCAUGUUUAGCAAAAGCUUCUCCGAAACAUGUUGUUUGUUUUCUUACAACAGUUGGUUCCACUUCAUAAAAAAUUGGAAAAAUUUGAUCCUCUCUAUUUUUGCAUUCAACAAUCUUAAGAAGUUCAUCCAAGCACCAAGUGGAAGAAGCGUAAUUUUUUGAGAGAACAAUAAUUGAAAUUCUUGAUUCUUCAAUUGCUUUAAGGAGAUUUGGUGAAAUGGAUCCUCCUUUCUCAAGUUGUUUGUCAUCCCUGAAUACAUAAAUUCCUUUAUUGUUCAAAGCAGUGUAGAGAUGACCUAUGAACCCUUUACGGGUGUCUUCUCCUCUAAAGGUUAAGAAGGCAUCGUAUUCCCCAUGAGAGACAUUUUGGAAGCUCGUGGAAGCCAUUAUAUUAAUUUGUUCCUGAAAAUUUAGAAUAAAUCAAGUGAAAUCCAGUGAGCGUAAAAUACCAUGCAAACAAUAAGAUUCAUUCAAGAUUAUGGGCAGCACAAAAAUGAAAAUGUUAUAGAUUAUAUGUAAAUUCUACUUUUUUUAACCACCUAAAUGGUAACUCGAAUGAAUUGUGAUUGUAACUAGUAUUGCGUGACCAGUAUUGUAUAAGCAUUAAUCCGUGCACAGUAAUUUUAGGAGUAAUUAAUUAGAAAAAUUAAUAUAUCUAUUGUUUUAAUUUGCUUAUAGAUCUAAAUUAUUUACGCAUGAUAAAUCCCCAAAUGUAAUAGAAAUUUUUUCUAGAUGCUAAUCGGGGAUGCGCACACCGAUCUCUACUUAAGCAAAUCUUGAUUAGAGCCUCUAAAAGAAGGCAAAGAGUUUGUACAAAAUUAACAUUCAAAGAUUUCUUUCAAUUUUUUCAUUUUUUUCUUUUUCUGUACACUAAGAUGUGCAAAUUAAUUCUGAAAAUAAAAGAGAGAUUUAUGAGAUAGAACUUACAGCUUUUGAGUGUAUUGAAGGAAGCCACUUAAAUGAACUCCAAUGCAGUAUGAUUAUUAUAAUUACCACAAACUCCAAUGCAGUAUUUGUUUCAAAGAAUUUAUUCAUGCAAAUAUCUUUUGGGAAAAAAAAUAUUAAGCCAUUAGGAGUUGUGUGGUUGUACUAAUGUAUGAUUUUCCAAAAGCAAGUCUUGGUAAGAAAGUGACUUUCUUAAUAAUCAAUAAAUAUUGUCACUGUUUACUCACAUGAUGAAGUUAGCAUCGAACUUCCUGGAAGCUUCAAGAAUCUAAACGAAAAUUAUCAGGCUUUUCAAUUGAAUACGCGUCGUCCCCAUUCUGCCCAUUAGCCGUGUUGAAGCCAUUAAAAUGGAUUGGAAUCCAACGGUUGAUAUUAGUAAUUAAUUAAAAAUAGUUAAAAUUACCAGCAGUCUAUCGGAAUGGUAAACAUAGUGACCUUUAUUAGUAAAAUUUUAACGGAGUCCAAAUAGGUAGGGUUGGACAAACUCAAUCCAACCCAAUCUAAUCAAAUUAGAUUUAGAUGGAUUGAUUAGAUUAUAAUGGGCUAACUGACUCAAUUUUUUUUUUUUUCAAUUUGAUUAAUGAUUGAGUUAGGCUGGAUUCAUUAUCAUAAACUCGAAUAAUUCAACCAAACCCAAAAACAACAAAAAUCAUAAAAAAAAUUAACGUUCGGCUAUUAACUAUUCAAUCUUAAACCCAAUUUUGAACCCUAAAAGAGAUCUUGUUCAGUCUCUCUCAUUUAAACAUGAUAUUAAUUGAAUUCUCUAGACUAAAAUUCAAAAGUCAAAUCAAACUUUGACUAAAACUAAGUUGAUAGAUAUUCAAACAUUAAGUUAUAUUGUUUUAUUGACAGAUAUUGGAUAUAAUAGAUAACAUUUAAUGAUAUGAUGAAGAAUUAAUAUGUUUUUUUUACUAUUUGAAUGUGAUUUUAAGUACCAAAUAGCUUUUUUUCUUUUAACUUUGAUGUUUGAACUUUUUUCAUUUUUAAUUUUAAUCAAUUCGUUUGACCCAGUCCAAUGAUUUAAGGAUAAGAUUGGGUUGUCGUCAUAUUUAUUUGGUUGGGGAACUAAUCAAUAGUGGGUUGGGUUGGAUGCCCACUAAAGAGNNNNNNNNNNNNNNNNNNNNNNNNNNNNNNNNNNNNNNNNNNNNNNNNNNNNNNNNNNNNNNNNNNNNNNNNNNNNNNNNNNNNNNNNNNNNNNNNNNNNAAAUUAAAAAAUAAUAAUAAAUUAUAAUUUCUUCCACCAAUAUCAAUAAUUAAAUAAGAUUUAAUAUUAUAUCAACAAAAUAUGUUCAACUUAUGUUUAAUAAACUCCUAUUAAUUUUCACAAUUAUCCGUAAUUGUUGUGGGAUUUACUUUUAUCGUGUUUAGAACAAAAGAAAAAUUAAAUUUCUUUAUCAUAGAAAUAUGCAAAAUCCAUACACUGAAAAAAAAAAAAAGGUAUGCGAAACUGUAAUUACAAUUUAGAAGCUUCCAGUAAGAAUUGAUUCAACUUAUAAAAUCUGUGUUGUUUAUAAUUAAUAUAUAUACACCCUGAUCAACAAAUAUGGUAAAAUAUUAUUUAUCGAGAUCUAAAUUAAAAAAAUCUACAAACCUAAAGAUUCAUCGAGACUUACGAGAUUCAAGGAGAUAAAAUUAUUAAUGAUUAGUGUUAAAAAAGAGAAAAUAGAGAGAAAGAGAAAAAUAAUGUAAUAUAAUUACUACGAUAAUUUCUUUUAACAUGAAAUUAUCGAACAACAAAUUAAUAAUCUUCUUCUUAACUAAACAAACUAAUUAAAAGCCUCUCAUUUACUUCCAAAAUAUAAUUAAAAAAGUUUGUCAAAUGCUGAUUGGAGAGUGUGUUUGCCGACCUUUACUGAAGCAAAUCUUAAUUAGAGCCUCAAAGAGAAGCAAAUUAAAGGGUUGAGACAAGACAAAUUAAAUUACCAUUCAAAGCUUUCUUUCAAUUUUAUUUAUUUCCUGUUCUAAACAUCCAGGAUGUGCAAAUUAAUUCUGAGGAUAAAAGAGAAAUGUAUAAAAUAAAACUUACGGCUUUGAGUGUGUUGAACGAAGCCACCUAAUUGAUCUGCUCAACUCCAAUGAAGUGUUUUGAUUCAAAGGAAAGAAGGUUAAUCAGGCAAAUAUGCAAUUUCCAGCUCCCCAGAUUUAUUUGUACGUAUUCUAAAAGUAAGUCUUGGUCAUCUCAGAAAGUGGGUGGGAAAAAGCAAAAAAGGCCAAAGGAAUCUUUUUGACUACUUCAUAUACGUCUUGUGGGGUGGUUUUUUGUUUUUUGUUUUUGUUUUGGUUUGGGGAGAUAGGGGGGGGGUUCUCCGGGGAAUAAACCGGGUGUAUUUCGCAUGCCGCGUUAAAAGAUUGUAUUUGAGAUAAAAUAAAUCUUAAAGUUUUGAUUGCACAGGCAGCUACCUGUUGAAUUUCAAUGCAGUAUUGCUUCAAAGAAGCUAAGUUAAUCAGUGAAACAUAUUUGUGCAUAUGACGAUUAAAUAUGAAUUAUGUAGAUAAAACAUAAAACAUAUGAAUUUUAAAUUAAAACUUAUAAAUCAAUAUUAAAUAUAAAAUAAAACAUGGAUUGUGUAAUUAAAAUAUAAAACUUCUAAAAUAGAAGGUAAAAUAAGUAAAUUAAUUUAGAAGUGGUAAAUUAGUAAAUUAUGGGUACAUAAAAUAAAAAUUUAUAAAUAUAACAUAAAACUUGUAAACCAACAUUAUGUGUAAAAUAAAACAUAAGAUUUGUAAAUAGAAGGUAAAACAAGUUAAUUAAUAUAGGCAUGAUAAAUUGGUGUAUUAUUAUUAAACAAAACAAAAACUUACAAAUAUAACGUAAAGCUUACAAAUUAAUAUUAAAACAAAAACUGAGAAACAUAAUAUAAAACUUGUAAAUCAAUAAUAAGUUUAAAAUAAAACAUAAAUUAAGCAAAUGAAACAUGAGACUUGUAAACAGAAGGUAAAAUAAGUAAACUAACAAUAUAGGAGUGGUAAAUUGAUGUAUUAUUGGUAAACAAACAAAAACUUAUAGAUGUAACAUAAAAUUUUUAAAUUAGCAUAAAGUGUAAAAAUAAAAUAUAAAUUAUGUAACUAAAACAUAAGAUUUAUAAGAGGAAAGUAAAAUAAGUAAAUUAAUAUAAGAAUUAUUAAAAAAAUAAAAAGUUACAGAUGUAAAUUAAAAAAGAAUUAUAAUAAUGAUUCCCUUAUAUAUUUACUAAUUUUGUCUCUAAAUUGAAUAAUGAUAGUUUUGGGCUUAUGUAAUACAUGUGAUGAUAUAUUUAAAAUUUUAUUAAGAAUAAAACUCUUUUUAUAUUUUUUUAAAGUUGUUUUGUAAGAUAAGGUAAUUUUGCAUCAUUCUAAACCUCCUCGGCAAUAACUCAACGGUAUAAGAAGCAAAGCUUGAAACUAUAUAAAGUAUGCAUAAAACUGAAAAUUAAAUCAAUUUUAUUGAUAUAUCAUAUAUGUCUAGUACUAUAAAAAUAACUUUUAUUUUGUUUUGGCUUGAUCUACAUUAAGAAAAAUAAUUUUGCUUAAUUAACCGGUGUAGUAAGCAAAUAUGAUGAUUAAAAAUGAAAAAAAUUAUAAAUGUCUUAGGAUAAAUAUAGAAUUCAUGGUAUUCAUUAAAAUUUAUUCUAAAUUUGUUUUAAUAUAAUUUUUUCAUUUUCAAUUAAUAAGUGAUUUUUUUGCUUAAUAAGUGAUUUUUGCUUAAUUAAAAUAAAUAAAUCAACUAUUUUCUAGUCUAGUUAAAGUUUGAUGUUGAUUUAUAAGUUUUAUAUUAUUUUUACAAGUAUUUUUUAUUUUUAAUUUUAAAACAUCAAUUUACCACUUUUGUAUUAAUUUAUUUAUUUUAGUUUUUUUAUUAGUUAUAUGUGUAAAUUAUAAAAAUUUAUAUUUAUUACGCAAUUAAUUACGAUGUGAUAGAUUUUUCCUUGUGCACCUAUCUUUCAAGGGAAGGCAGAGGACUUUUAUUGAAUCUGGAAAAUUAAACCGAUUACACGGUUUCCAGCUCCCAGUUGUGUUGAAUCUUGGUCAAAAAGUGUGACUCUUUAAGUAGCGUUUACUUUUUGGAUUGGAGUGGGAAUCCUAGGAUUCAGAGUGUUGAGUGGGAGUGUGAGUAGGUUGUUUACUUGCACUGGAAUAGAAGCAUGGAAUGGAGAUCAGAAUCCAAUUUAUGUGUUUAUUUUAUUUUGAAUUGAGAGUAAAUAGUUUCAAAUUAUAAUUUUAUCCUUAUUUAAAGAAUUAGAGUUUUUAAUUACAAAGUUAAUAAAAAAUAUAUUUAAUGAAUAAACAUUUAUUUUAUUAUAUUUGUAAAUUUAUAAUAAUUAUUAAUAUUCUUAAUUAUGAACAUCACAAUUUUUUAUUAAUUUUAACUUUAAUUAUAUAAAUUAAAAAUUGUUGAUAAGGGCAAUAUAAAUGAAAUAUUUUUACUAUUAACAUAGUAUGAAAUUAAUAUUUUCUUAGAAUAAACUAUUUAUUAGUAUUAAUUAUUCAUAUUAAAUAAAUAUAAUACUAUUAUUUUUAAAUAAAUAUAAUAAUAUUAUAUUUUCAAAUAAAGAUGGUAUAUAGUAAUAUUAUUAAUUCUCUAUUAAUAUAGUAUUAUUAUUUUUAAGUAAAUUAAACUUAGAAUCAAACCCAAUUAUUAUUUAGUUAAAUAUAAUAAUAAUAUUUAAAUAUUUAUUAAAUAUAAUUAUAGUAAAUUUAAUAAAAAGAAGGGUAAAUAUAAAAUGCAACAUUAUUUUAUUUUAUUUUAUUUUACAUAAUUAUAUUAAUUCAUUAUUUAUUAAUAUAAUAUUAUUUAGUACAAAAUUAAUAUUUUCUUAGAAUAAACUAUUUUUAUUAUUAAUUAUUAAUAUUAAAUAAAUAUAGUACUAUUAUUUUUAAAAUAAAUAUAAUAAUAUUAUAUUAUUAAAUAAAGAUAGCAUAUAGUAACUUUUAUUAAUUCUCUAUUAAUAUAAUAAUAUUAUUUUUAAGUAAUUUUAACUUAUAAUCAAUGUAAAUUAUUAUUUAGUUAAAUAUAAUAAUAUUAUUUAAAUAAAGAUAAUAUAAUUUAUUUUAUUUUUGGAGUGGGGAGUGGGAGUGGGACUUCCAUAGGGAGAGGUGGGAGUGGGAUUCCCAAUCCUUCCCCAAUUUGUUGAAGUAAACACUAGAAUUGGAGGAAUCCACACUCUUCACUCCCACUCCAAAAAGUAAACACAACCUUAGUCUUUACCCUACAAUAUGAAACUACCGUUCAAUCAAACUUUCUCUCAAUGAUAAGUCUCUUUAAUUGAAAUUACACGUCGUCGCCACUCGGCCUUGUUAGAGAGCAAUAAUGUCUUCAUCUGCUAAUGUUCUAAUAAUUUGUAAUAAUUAACUCAUCGACUAUGAUUCUGCAAAGAUAUUCAGCUGUAAUCACUUGCUUCGGAUUCGUGUAGGUUUAUCUUUAAUAUUAGUAUUAAGCCUUUGCUUAUCAGCUUAAGCUUUCCGAUUAUAUAUUGGCAAAUGGGAGCUUGUUGUGAGCUGAUAAUAAUUAAAGGAAGUUAAACCAUUUCCUUCGAGCCUCUGUAGUGUAGCCUCCACUAAACUUUGUUAUUUGCUGGUUCUGUUCUUAGUUGAACUUUGCUGACUUUGUAAUUUGUAUGCUUAUUGCUAAUGAUCCUUGCACUUUGCUGCUAGUGUAACGUUGAUUCCAUCGCUGCUGUUGCGCUUACUAGCUAGGAAUUCCACGAACAAAUUUCACAAAAGGUUUGUUGAAAUUGUUGAAAAGGCAAAGAAUGUCUUGCAAAUUUCAAAAGGCAAAGUUGGUGGGUUUGCCAAAUUAAAAAAAGCAAACUUGGUUGGCUUGCUAAUUUCAAAAGACAAAGUUAGGUGUUGAAAAGCUUGUGCAUGCAAUACAAGAUCCAGCUCAAUGUUUUGACCAAUUGAACCCAACUUGGAGCAUAAUGCACUCUAUAAAUAGAGAAGUAUUUUGCAAUUGUAAGCAUCCCAAUUUGAGAGAAGUAGAGAGCAAUUGCAACUGAGUUCUUUGAGAGAAUUUGAGAGAGCUUCCACUUGAGUGUUCUAGUGAGGUUCCAUUUGGGUGUAUUCGGGUUGUGGGUUUUGUGAGUUUUUCCCACUUCUAUAAAUUUCCAUUUGUUAGUAAAAUUAUCUUCUAGUUUUUUACCCGUGAACGUAGGCAUUACGCUGAACCACGUAAAUUAUUGUGUUAUAUUUUCUUUGCAUUUGUUUAUCACAACAUUUAUAUUUCUCUAGAAUUUGCAGUAUUAGUAAUUGCUCAACCCACGAUUCUGCAACAAUUAGUAUCAGAGCCGAUGGUUCGUACUUGGGGGGAUACGAUAUUUGAAAUAUAAGUGUGCAACCCAAGAGGGGGGGUGAAUUGGAAUUUUAAAAAUUAUCCUAGCAAAUCCACACAACAAGCUAUCUAAUGUCUUAAUAAAAAUUGAAAGCAAUAAGUUCAAUAAAAGCACAAUAAUUAAAUAGUAAGGGAGAAGAGAAACAAACACACGAAUUUUUACGUGGUUCGGCAAUCCCCGCCUACGUCCACGCCUCUAAGCGAUCCAAGCUUGAGGAUUUCACUAUCCAAGGUUUCAACCGAUUACAAUUGACUUUGAGGUGUCAAUAAACCUUUACAACAAAGAGAUUAUAUCCCAAUCUCUUCACUCAAGUGUCUCACACACUCAAACUCUUACAAUUGAGAUGAAUAAAUGAAGGUUACAAUAAAACUCACUCAAUGAGUAGAUAUUCAAAAAUGAAGAACAAGAAAUGAUUCAAUGUUUGUAUUUUGCAAGUUUUAAGGCUUAAGAUAUCACGUGUGCUUUUUGUUUUUGCUUAUUGGAGAAAUUCAAAAUGAGUUGGAUUUGAGUUCUUAUAGUUUGAGCUCAAAAAUUAGCCGUUACUCACAUUUUGGGCGUAUCCGGUUUGCCGUUUAUGGAAUCCGAUAAGCCGGAUUUAUGUUACCGUUUGAAUUUUGCCUAUCCGGCUUACUGGUUACGAAAUCCGGUAAGCCGUUUGCAUUCUGGAUGCUUACUGCCCCAUAUCCGAUUUUCCAGUUUUUAUAUCCGGUAAGUUGCUUGCUACAGUAACUUGGUACAGUGAAAUUUUUCCUAAAUUUUUAAUUUGACCCCCAAACUUUACAAAACUGUAGUAUGACCCAAAACGUUAUAAAAAUUUACAAAUAGGUCCAAUUUAAGAAUUUCUAAAUAAUGCUUCGUUAAUCCCAAAAUUUUUUGAAAUUAUGAUUUCGCCCAAACUUUGUGAAAUUAUAGAAUGGCCCAAAAUGUUAUAAAAGUUUGCAAAUAGAUCCAAUUUCAGAAUUUCUAAGUAAUGCUUCGUUAAUCCCAAAACUUUUUGAAAUUAUGAUUUUGCCCAAACUUUGUGAAAUUAUAGAAUGGCUCAAAAAUAUUUAAAUAGUUUCAAAUAGGUCCAAAUCCGAAAUUUAAAACAUUAUCAAAUAUUUUGAAAUUUUAGUCCAAAAUGCUUUAAUUCUAUAACAUCAUUUUCUUAUUAUAAAAGCACAAUUCAUAAAUCUUUGCUUAAUAAAUACAUGUGGUUUGUUAUCAUCAAAAUCAAUAUUUAUAACCAUAUAGGCUAACAAUCUCCCCCUUUUUGAUGAUGACAAAGCACAUUCAAAUUUAAUCUAGUUAUGAAAAGCUCCCCCUUAAUCAAUGCAAGUUAAAAAAUGAUUUGAAAAUUAUUUAACAAAAACUCCCCCUGCAUACAUGCUCCCCCUAGAUACAUGCAUAUUUUCAUAACACAUUAAAUCAUUCUCCCCCUUCAUCAUCAAAAAGAAUAAAGGCUCCCCCUAUCAAUCAUCAAAAUCGCAACAUAAGCACAUUAGUAAAAAAAAAUAUCCAUAAGCAUAAGAAAAUCCAUAUAAUCCAUAAUGAUCAAUCAAAACAAAUCCAUAACAUCCAACAUAAAUAGUCACAACAAAUCCAUAUAAUCCAAAACAAAGACAUAAAUCGAAAAGCAUAAUAACCAUCCAUAGAUUCGAAAAUAAACAAACACACAAUGCAGUAAAUGAAAUGUAGAUGUGUCCAAGUACAAGCAUAAGAUACUACUCAGGUGGUGAGGAUGGAGGUGAUGGAGGUAGAAACGGAUAUGGAAUGCCGAAGUGCUCGAAGAGGAGGCACUGUCCAUGAAUAAGCUGCUGCUGCUGCUGCUGAAACUCAGUUUGCCGCUGCUGAAACUCAGUCUGCCGCACAGAGAGUGUCUACACUUCAUCCAUAAUCUGCUGAAGAGUGACCUCUUCAGAGGUAGGAGGAUGUGGAGGUGAUGAAGCGGAUGCAGAUGCACUAGGAGCUGAAGCAACCGUGGAAGAAACUCGGCGUCUACGCUCCCCUCGAAAUGAGAGUGAGAAAACUGGAAGUUGUUCAGCUGGAAUCACAGCAUUAAGUGGCCGAUCAUCACUUGGGGUUAGAAGGGUAAACUUGUUAUCGCUGUAUUUGACCCAAGUGUCAUCCUUCCACUCAAAGCCUAACCCAAUAAUAACCUCAUCCCCGAUACCCUUGGACGGCCUACAAGAUGGUUCUAGAAUCUGUACUUCAAAGAAUUUAAGAAUUCGGGUAAUGAAGUGACCAUAAGGAAGAGAGAGGGUAAUCAAGGCGGGAAUGCUCAACAUGGUGCGGAUGAUGGAAUAGCCCAAGUUAACCGGGCGACCUCUAAGAAUACAGUCAAUCAUGGCGACAUCCAUGUGAGAAACCUCAUCCAAAUGUCCUGAUCUAGGAAGUACAAUGGACUGGAUGAUACGAAGCAAAAUACGAGUUUGAAGACAAAGACACUGAGUACGAAAAUGAAUGGUACAAUCUUCAACAGAAAGAUCACUACGUCGACAAAUAUUACGAACGGCAUCAACAUGAACAUAGUCAUCAAUAUCAGGAGGUUUCCUAGGAGAAAAAAUGUCCAAGCCAUCAUCGGAAGAUCCUAGGAUGGAGUUCAACUCCGAAUCAUCAAAUUCAAUCAAAACUCCUUCAACUGUGGUGAUUACUUGAUUCUCUUUCUCCGCGGAACAAUCCAUAUUCGAGUAAAAUACUUUCACCAAGUCGGGAUACACAUUCUCCUCAAUCAACAAUGCAUCAAUCCAACCAACAUCUCCCAACAAUUGAUAUUUCUAUAACUAAUCUUGAGAGUAUGCAUAACAUCCGGUAAAACAAAGAAAGUGUUGAGUACCUCACGAGUCCGAAAGUUUUGUUGAAACCGUUUGAUCAAGUGUUGCUUGUUCUGAAAAUGAAUGGACUCAAAAGUGGAUUGAUUUGAGGUGCCCCUUGCUUCCCGUGGCCGGGUGGUUUGUUGAACCGGUUCUUUGCCUUUUCUUCGAACCGGCCGAGAGUUUGACAUUUUGAUUUUGAUGGAUGUGAAGAUAAAAACACCAAAGAGAAUGAAGAUGAUGAAGAUUGAAAGUGAUUUAGAGAAACAAAUUGGAUCAAAAACGGCUUGAGAGUGAGAAAUCUAGAGAGAGAAAAAUCAGCCAAAAACCUAGGUUGAAAUUCGGAUCUAGGGAUUUGGAGGUUGAAAAUGAGUUUUGAGUGUGAUUUUAGGUAUAAGAACGGAUGGGGAUUAGGAUCUAUGGAUUGAUUUGCAUCAAAACCGUGUAGAAAAGGUGGAUUUGUGAGUGAAAAAUGAGAGAGAAGGACCGGUUUUUAGAGAGCGAACAAGAACCGGAUUGCUGAAUGAAAAAGGAAGAAGAACAGUUGAAAUAGCUCCCGAAACUGGCUUGCCGGUUUGCACUAUCUGGCUAGCCGGUUGAGACCAGAAGCUUGAAACCCGUAAACGGCUUGCCGGUUUGACUUGAACUGGAAAUCCGGUUGUGACCAGCAAGUCCUUCACUCGAAUCCGGUUUUCCGGAUAACACGAACCAGCUUGCCGGUUGGAUCCAAAAGAUAGCAAGUGAGAAUCGGAUUGCCGGUUUUCCUGAACCGGUUGGCCGAAUGAGUCUAGAAUGCUGCCAAAGUGCAGCUCGAAUUCGGAUUUCCGGAUUGACAGAACCGGAAAUCUGGUUUUGUUCCAGCAAGCUUUCCUUGCGAAUCCAGCUUUCCGGUUUUGCUAACCGGUAGUCCGGUUUGAGGCAGAAAGUUACCUCUUCAAUUCGGUUUUUCAGAUUUUAAGAACCGGUUAUCCGGUUUUUAGGCAGAGAGAAGGCUUAGCAAAUCCGGUUUUCCGGAUUGAAAAUUCGGUUAUCCGAAUGUUGUCCCGAGAGCAACCAAAGUUAAUCCGGUUUUCCGGAUUGAAAAUCCGGUUAUCCGGAAUUUGUCCCAAGAGAGAUCAAUAAAAAAAGUGUUUUUCCGGAUGAAUGGAAAGGGAAUAUUUGCUAGCUCUUAUACUUGUACUACACACACCAUUUUAUUUCCGGCCUUAAAAAUUGAUUAAUUUUAAAUCAUUUUGAGAUUUAAAACUUUUCAAUAAGCCAUUUAAUGCAUAAAACACAAAAUCAUAAAAUCAUAAAUUUACAAGCAUAUCAAGUUAUUUAAUUCAUGAAACAUAAAUCCAUAUGAUAACAAAUAUAUUAAGCCAUGUAGUAAAACAUGAAUUAAGAUUCAACAUUCAUCAUUCCAAGCUCAUGUCUUAUCUUUAUAAAAUACUCUUCGCUAAGAGGUUUUGUAAAGAUAUCCGCAAGUUGAUUUUCAGUGGAAACAAAUUUAAUUACGACAUCUCCUUUUUGAACAUGAUCUCUAAGGAAAUGAUGUCUAAUUUCCAUAUGCUUAGUCCUAAAAUGUUGAAUAGGAUUCUUAGAAAGAUUUAUAGCACUAGUAUUGUCACAUAAGAUAGGAAUUUGAUCAAGCUUAAUACCAUAGUCUCUAAGGGUUUGUUUCAUCCAUAGAAUUUGUGCACAACAACUACCUGCGGCAAUAUAUUAUGCCUCGGUGGUUGAAAGCGCAACCGAGUUUUGUUUCUUACUAAACCAAGAGACAAGAGAAUGGCCUAGGAAGUGACAUGUUCCACUAGUACUUUUUCUAUCAACCUUAUACCCAGCAAAAUCGGCAUCCGAAUAACAAGUUAAAUCAAUAUGAGUUCCUCUAGGAUACCAAAGGCCAAGAUUAAUGGUGCCAAUUAAAUAUCGAAAAAUGCGUUUGACAGCAAGCAUGUAAGACUCUUUAGGACAAGAUUGAAAUCUAGCACACAAGCAUACACUAAACAUAAUAUCAGGCCUACUAGCAAUUAAGUAGAGUAAGGAUCCCAUCAUACCUCGAUAUGUCUUGAUAUCAACUUCCUUACCUUUCUCAUCUUUGUCCAGCUUUGUGGUAGUACUCAUAGGAGUGCUUUUUGCCGUUCCAUUAUCAUAGCCAAAUCUUUUGAGUAGAUCUUUCACGUACUUGGCUUGGUUUAUGAAAAUUCCUUCCUCAUUUUGUUUGAUUUGAAGUCCAAGGAAGUACUUCAACUCUCCCAUCAUGCUCAUCUCAAACUCUUGGCUCAUACAUGAUGAAAAAUCUUUACACAACAACUCAUUAGUAGAACCAAAAAUAAUAUCAUCAACAUAAAUUUGAACAAUAAGUAUGUCUUGGUUCUUAUGCUUAACAAAAAGAGUUGUGUCCGCUUUUCCUAUUGAAAAAUCGUUAUCCAACAAGAAAUUUUUAAGCCUAUCAUACCAAGCUCUAGGUGCUUGUUUUAAACCAUACAAAACCUUAGAUAACUUAUACACAUGAUUUGGAAAUUUUUCAUUUUCAAAACCAGGAGGUUGUUUCACAUAAACUUCCUCCAUAAUAUAUCCAUUUAAGAAAGCACUCUUGACAUCCAUUUGAUAUAAAAUAAAAUCCUUAUGACAUGCAUAUGCUAACAACAUCCUAAUGGAUUCUAACCUUGCUACAGGUGCAAAAGUUUCAUCAAAAUCAAUUCCUUCUUCUUGGUUGUAACCUUGAGCCACUAAUCUAGCUUUAUUUCUUACAACCACACCGAAUUCAUCCAUUUUGUUUCUAAAUACCCAUUUAGUACCUAUAAUGGAUUGAUGUUCCAGAUUAGGAACUAACUCCCACACAUUGUUUCUCUCAAAUUGAUUCAACUCCUCUUGCAUUGCCAUAAUCCAAGAUUCAUCAUUUUCCGCAUCCGCAAAAGAUUUUGGUUCAAUUUGAGAAAUAAAUGUAGCAUGCUCACAUGUGUUCCUAAGAGAUGAUCUAGUGGUAACACCUCGUGAAGGAUCUCCUAAAAUUACAUUCUUAGGGUGAGAGGAUACAUACCUCCACUCCUUGGGGAGUGUUUGAGAAGUACCUUCAUUUUGCUCUACAUUUGUUUCUUCAUGAUGUUCCUCUUGAAUUCCAUGUGGUGAGUCUUCUUGGUUGUCAUUCGAUGCUUCUUCUUGUUGUUCUUCUUCUGCAUUAUCAUCAACAACGACUUUCUCCGUAGAGGAGGGGUUAGACUCAUCAAACGUAACAUGCAUAGAUUCUUCCACAACUAAAGUUCUUUUGUUAUAAACUCUAUAAGCUUUUCUUGAAUUUGAAUAACCAAGAAAGAUACCAACAUCAGAUUUUGGAUCAAAUUUACCAAGAUUAUCUUUUGUGUUCAAAACAAAACAUUUGCAUCCAAAAACUUUAAAAUAACCAAUGUUGGGUUUUCUAUCUUUCCAAAGCUCAUAUGGAGUUUUAUUAAAAUUAGGUCUAAUCAACACACGAUUUAAAACAUAAUAAGCGGUGUUGACGGCUUCGGCCCAAAAGUACUUAGGCAAAGAGUUUUCAUUCAACAUGCUCCUAACCAUUUCUUGAAUAGACAUAUUCUUUCUCUCUACUACUCCAUUUUGUUGUGGAGUCCUAGGUGAUGAAAAUUGAUGUUCAGUGCCAAAGUCAUUACAAAAAUUUUCAAACGCAUGAUUUUCAAAUUCUCCACCAUGAUCACUUCUAAUACAAGAAAUAGAAUAACCUUUUUCAUUUUGAACCUUUUUAUAGAAAAUUCGAAAUGCAUCAAUAGCGUCAUCCUUAUUAGCUAAGAACAAUACCCAUGUGUACCUAGAAUAAUCAUCCACAAUUACAAAUGCAUAAAAUUUGCCACUUAAGAUAGCAUAUCUAGAAGGUCCAAACAAAUCUAUGUGAAGUAAUUGAAGUAGUUUUGAAGUAGAGACAUGAUUCUUGCUUUUGAAGGAAGUUUUGAUUUGUUUUCCAAAUUGGCAUGCUUCACAAAUUCUAUCUUUUUGAAAACUGAUUUUUGGAAGACCUUUAACUAAAUCAUUUUUCAUGAUUUUUGAAAUCAAAUCCAUGCUUGCAUGACCUAAUCUUCUAUGCCACAACCAACCAUCAUCAUGCAAUGCGGAGAGACAUUUAUCAUGUAUUGAUACACAAUCUAUAUUAAUGGUAUAGACAUUAACACAUCUAUUUCCUACAAACAAGACUUUCCCAUCACAUGCAUUCUCAAUAACACAUUUUGAUUCAUCAAAGAUAACUCUAUAUCCUUUAUCACAUAAUUGACUAAUACUAAGCAAAUUGUGUUUCAAGUUUUCAACUACACACACAUUUUCAAUGAGAGUAGAGGAUACAUUACCGACAUUUCCAAUCCCAAUGAUUUUUCCUUUUGAAUUAUCUCCAAAUGAUACAUCUCCACCAUUUUCGAUCUUAGUAAAGCUUGAAAACCAAGAAUAAUUCCUUGUCAUGUGUCUUGAACAACCGCUGUCCAAGUACCACUUAUUCUUCUUCUUCUUCAAGCCCUGUAGAGAAAAUCUCAAGUUUUAGGUACCCAAACCUUUUUGGGUCCUUGAGAGUUAGCAAUGGUUCCUUUCGGAACCCAAACACAUUUCACACCAUAAUAUGCAUUUCUCUUCACUGCACAUCUAUUUUUCAUAUGACCAUCUUGAUUACAAUAAUGACAUACAAUUUGAUUGUUGAUAGAUGUAUUCUUCACAAAAUAACUCUUGUAAAAUUUUUGUUUAAAAUUUGGUUUAUAACCAAUGCCACUUUUGUCGAAUACACAUUUUUGUGAGUUUAGCAAAUUGUCCAACAUCUUUUGCCCAUUUGUGAAUUUUAGCACAAUUUCAUUUAGUUCAUUGCUCUUCUUUCUAAGCAUUUCAUUUUCAUUUUUCAAGUCAUUCAUUUGUGACUCUAAGUGCUCAUGUGAAGUGCUAGAAUUCUCAAAUAAUGCAAUACUAUCAUGCAAUGUUUUAUUUUCUAAUUCUAGGCAUGUAAUCGUUGCACUAAAUGAUUCAUUUUCAUUUUUAAGCUCUAUCAUCUUCUUUUUAAGACAUAUAUUCUUUUUACCAAUCUUCAUCAACUCAUCAUGCAAAUCCUUAAAGGCAUAAUGUAAUUCAUCAUAUGUAGGAAGAACAUUUACCUCAUCGAGUUCAUCACAUGAUUCUUCCCCAACGGCCAUGAGAGCUAAAUUUGUCAUUUCUUGUUGCUCAUCAUCAUCACUUGUUUCCUCAUCGCUAUCAUCCCAUGUGGCCACCAUAGCUUUCUUUUUAAGUUUGUUGAGAAGAGGACAUUUCGGUCGUAUGUGUCCGGGCUUCUUGCAUUCAUAACAAGUGAUUGGCUCCUUCUUCUACUUCUUAUUCUUGUAGCCUCUGAACUUUCUCUGCUCAUUAUUCUUUUUGUAAUAUUUUCUGAAUCUUCUAGCCAACAUAGCCAACUCCUCAUUAUCCAUUUCGCUUUCCUCAUCACUCUCACGUUUUGAAGCCUUGAGAGCAAUAGUUUUCUUCUUUUCCUCAUGCCCUUUUUCAGCUGCCAAAUCUUCUUCAUAUGAAAUGAGAGAACCAAUUAGAUCAUCAAUAGGUAAAACAAUAGACAACUUUAAGUUUGUGCCAAAUCUCAUUAGCACUUUCGCAACUAGACACUCUAUGAAACUCUUUCUUAUCUAAUGCACAAAACAAGGCAUUCAUGGCCUCGAAAUUUAGAAAAGCUUUUCUCUUUUCGAAUUCAUUCCAAUCCCGUGAAGGUUUUGGAAUAUCUUCUCCGACUUCAUUUUUAGUCAAAGGCAUGAAAGGACCAUCAUUAACGAUUUCCCAAAUUUUAUAAUCUAAGGCUUACAAGUAAAUUCUCAUCCUAGUUUUCCAAUAUGGGUAAUCGUUUCCAUCAAAGUAAGGUGGUCUAGUGGUGGACUGUCCUUCCCUAAAUGUUGAAUCAUUUUGAGUUGCCAUUGAUCUUUAGCUCUUGACGGUUAAGUCUAAAUACGAGCACCUCGCUCUGAUACCAAAUGAAAUAUAAGUGUGCAACCCAAGAGGGGGGGUGAAUUGGAAUUUUAAAAAUUAUCCUAGCAAAUCCACACAACAAGCUAUCUAAUGUCUUAAUAAAAAUUGAAAGCAAUAAGUUCAAUAAAAGCACAAUAAUUAAAUAGUAAGGGAGAAGAGAAACAAACACACGAAUUUUUACGUGGUUCGGCAAUCCCCGCCUACGUCCACGCCUCUAAGCGAUCCAAGCUUGAGGAUUUCACUAUCCAAGCUUUUCCAAGGCUUCAACCGAUUACAAUUGACUUUGAGGUGUCAAUAAACCUUUACAACAAAGAGAUUAUAUCCCAAUCUCUUCACUCAAGUGUCUCACACACUCAAACUCUUACAAUUGAGAUGAAUAAAUGAAGGUUACAAUAAAACUCACUCAAUGAGUAGAUAUUCAAAAAUGAAGAACAAGAAAUGAUUCAAUGUUUGUAUUUUGCAAGUUUUAAGGCUUAAGAUAUCACGUGUGCUUUUUGUUUUUGCUUAUUGGAGAAAUUCAAAAUGAGUUGGAUUUGAGUUCUUAUAGUUUGAGCUCAAAAAUUAGCCGUUACUCACAUUUUGGGUGUAUCCGGUUUGCCGUUUAUGGAAUCCGAUAAGCCAGAUUUAUGUUACCGUUUGAAUUUUGCCUAUCCGGCUUACUGGUUACGAAAUCCGGUAAGCCGUUUGCGUUCUGGAUGCUUACUGUCCCGUAUCCGAUUUUCUAAUUUUUAUAUCCGGUACGCUGCUUGAUACAGUAACCUGCUACACUGAGAUUUUUCCUAAAUUUUCAGUUUGACCCCCAAACUUUAUAAAACUGUAGUAUGGCUCAAAACGUUAUAAAAGUUUGCAAAUAGGUCCAAUUUCAUAAUUUCUAAGUAAUGCUUCGUUAAUCCUAAAACUUUCUGAAAUUAUGAUUUCGCCCAAACUUUGUGAAAUUAUAGAAUGACCCAAAACGUUAUCAAAGUUUGUAAAUAGGUCCAAUUUCAUAAUUUCUAAGUAAUGCUUCGUUAAUCCCAAAACUUUCUGAAAUUAUGAUUUCGCCCAAACUUUGUGAAAUUAUAGAAUGACCCAAAAAUAUUUAAAUAGUUUCAAAUAGGUCCAAAUCCGAAAUUUAAAACAUUAUCAAAGAUUUUGAAAUUUUAGUCCAAAAUGUUUUAAUUCCAUAACAUCAUUUUCUUAUUAUAAAAGCACAAUUCAUAAAUCUUUGCUUAAUAAAUACAUGUGGUUUGUUAUCAUCAAAAUCAAUAUUUAUAGCCAUAUAGGCUAACAAUAUUGUUCACGUAUACGGUACUAUUCCCAUAUACGGUACUGUUCACAACUGCGGUGGAGACGACCAUUUAUACUUGGGAGACAGUCUAUUGUAAGUAGUGUGUAUUUUUACAUGUCUAGAAAAGUUCUGUCAACAAGGCAAUAAGAGUCUAAGGAUUCCAGUUUUUAAUUGGGACCGAGUUCCCGUCCAAUCUCUAGAGAACUUUCCUAGUGCAUUUAUUUACGCGAAAUAAACAUCAUAGAGGCUGUUUUUUUAAGUGUAAAUAGUUGUUGAAGAAACUGAUCAUUUGAGAUAAAAAGGAUGGCAGAGGCAUCGUCGUCAUCUUCAUCAGCGAGGACUACUGUGACUAAUACAAAGUUUGAAGUGGAGAAAUUCGAUGGUACCAAUAAUUUUGGUAUGUGGCAAUGUGAGGUGUUGGAUGUCUUAUGUCAGCAAGAGUUGGACGUUGCUCUUGAAGAAAAGUCUGACAUGAUGGAUGACAAGGAGUGGAUAAAGAUCAACAGACAAGCAUGUGAUACUAUUCGCCUAUGUUUGGCUAAAGAUAAAAAAUACUCUGUCAUGAGGGAGACAUCGGCAAAGAAAUUGUGAGAGACACUGGAAGAAAAAUAUAUGAAGAAAAGCCUUGAAAAUAGGCUUUAUAUGAAAAAGAAACUCUAUCGUUUCACAUAUACACCUAGCAUGUCAAUGAAUGACUAUGUGAACUCAUUUAACAAAAUAUUAGCAUAUUUGCUAAAUUUGAAUGAGCAAUUUGAAGAUGAAGAUAAGGCACUAUUGUUGUUGAAUUUCCUUCCUGAUGAAUAUGAUCAUCUCACCACUACUUUGUUUCAUGGGAAAGACAGUGUCACAUUCGAUGCUGUAUGCAGUGCAUUGUACAACUCUGAGACCAGAAAGAAAAAUAGAAGGAUCACAGAGAUACAGUAGCGGAAGUAUUAACAGCGAGAGGCCGUUCACAAAGCCGCAAACCUAGAAAAAGAAGCAAGUCUAAAGGAAGCCUUGCUAAAGAUUAGUGUGAUUUUUGUCGCGAGAAAGGGCAUUAGAAAAAGAAUUGUCAUAAGUUACAAAAGGGUAAGGCUACUUCUGAUGCAUGUGUAGCAGAACAUGACGAGGAGUCAGACUUUAGUCUGGUUGGCAUGACAUUGAUGUCUCACUCAGAUGAGUGGAUUUUAGAUUCAGGUUGUACUUAUUAUAUGUGUCCUAACAAAGGCUGGUUUUCUAACUUCAAGGAGCUAGAUGGUAGAGUUGUUUUUAUGGGCAAUGACAAUGCUUGUAAAAUCAUGGGAAUAGGUACAAUCCAAUUAAAGAAUCAUGAUGGCUCAAUCCAAGUCUUGACGGAUGUUCGCUAUGUACCAAGCUUGAAGAAAAAUCUCAUCUCAUUAGGAGUCCUAGAAUCUAAAGGGCUCACAAUUACUUUGGGAGAUAGAUUGUUGAAGGUAGUAGUUAGGGCGCUGAUGGUAAUGAAGGACAUAAGAAGAAAUAACUUGUAUUAUUUCCAAGGAAGUACAAUUAUUGGAUCAACAUCAAUAAUUUCUAGAAAAAAUACAGAUUCCGAAGCGACCAAGUUGUGGCAUAUGCGUUUAGGACAUGCUGGUGAAAAAGCUUUGCAGACUUUGGUAAAGUAAGGCUUAUUGAAAGAUACAAAUUCCUGCAAAUUAGAAUUUUGUGAACAUUGUGUUCUGCGCAAGCAGACAAGGGUAAAGUUUGGUUCAACAAUUCAUGAUAUAAAAGAAAUUCUGGACUAUGUUCACAGUGAUAUGUGGGGACCUACCAAAACAGCUUCUUUGGGAGGUAUGCACUAUUUUAUUACUUUUGUUGAUGAUUAUUUAAGAAAAGUAUGGGUGUAUUUGAUGAAGAAUAAGAAUGAAGUUUUGGGCAUUUUUUUGAAAUGGAAGAAAAUGGUUGAGACUCAGACUGGUCAAAAGGUCAAAAGACUUCGCUCAGACAAUGGUGGUAAGUACAAGAGUGAACAAUUUCUUCAAAUAUGCCAAGAUGAGGGAAUUGUGCGACACAACCACAACAGAAUGGGGUGGUAAAAAGCAUGAACCGGAUUAUAUUGGAGAAAAUUCGGUGUAUGUUGUCCAAUGCUGGAUUGGGCAAAGAGUUUUGGGCUGAGGCAAUUAUACAUGCGUGUCAUCUAAUCAAUCAUUUGCCAUCAGCUGCAAUUGAGGGUAGAACACCCAUGGAGAUGUGGACCGGUAAACCUGCUACUAAUUAUGAUUCUUUACAUGUUUUUGGUUCCACUGCUUAUUAUCAUGUAAAGGAAUCUAAGUUAGACCCAAGAGUAAAGAAAGCAUUGUUCAUGGGUAUAACUGGUGGAGUAAAAAGAUAUCGUCUCUGGUGUCCUGUUAUGAAGAAGAUUAUUUUCAGCAUAGAUGUAACUUUUGAUGAAUCAGCCAUGUUGAAACAAAAAGAAUCUCAAGAGAAUGAGAAGACCAGAAGAACUUUGCAGCAGGUGGAGUUUGAAAAGAUUAAAGCUGAUCCAGCUGGUGUCAAUGAGAUGGAUAGUGAUUCUCUAUCGACCGAUGAUGAUGAAGGGGUUCUGACCCAGGAACCUUCACAGCAACAAGAUUCAAUUGCAUAUAGAAGGUCACACAGAGAGAUUCACAGACCUGCUCGCUUUGUUGAUACGGUGGCCUAUGCACUUCCAACUGUAGAUGAUGAUUUCCUUCCACUUACAGAGAAGCAGUAAGUAACCCAGAAAGUAUACAGUGGAAGAAAGCAAUGAACGAAGAAAUGCAGUCUCUUCACAAAAAUGAAACUUGGGAGUUAAUUACACUGCCCAAGGAAAAGAAAGCAAUUGGGUGCAAAUGGGUAUAUGCAAAAAAGGAAGGAUUUCCUCGUAAAAAUAAAAUUCGAUACAAGGUUAGAUUGGUAGUGAAUGGUUACGCUCAGAAGGAAUGAAUAGACUACAAUGAGGUAUUUUCUCUAGUUGUGAAACAUUCGUCUAUUCGAAUUUUGCUAGCCAUAGUUGCACAAUUUGAUCUUGAACUAGUUCAGCUUGAUGUAAAAACUGCAUUUUUACACGGUGAUUUGGAAAAUAAAAUUUGCAUGACUCAGGCAGAUGGAUUCAAGGUUGCUGGAAAAGAAAAUUGGGUUUGCAAAUUGACAAAGUCGCUUUAUAGAUUUAAACAGUCUCCGAGGCAGUGGUAUAAGUGAUUUGAUCGAUUUACGAAAGGGCAAAGGUACACACGAAACAAAUUUGAUCAUUGUGUGUAUUUUCGCAAGCUACAAGAAGGAUCUUUCAUUUAUUUGCUAUUGUAUGGCGAUGAUAUGCUAAUAACAUCCAAGAGUAAAUAUGAGAUUGAGAAGUUAAAGACUCAACUCAAUCAAGAAUUUGAAAUGAAAGACCUGGGUGAAGCUAAGAAGAUUUUUGGCAUGGAGAUAUGCAGAGAUAGAGCUCGUGGCAAAAUAAGCUUAUCUCAAAAGCAAUAUUUGAAUAAGGUAUUACAACAGUUUGGUAUGACUGAGCAGAAAAAACCUGUAAGUACCCCAUUGGCUUCUCAUUUCAAGCUUUCUACACAACUAUCUCCUUCGACAGAUGCAGAACGAGAAUACAUGUUACAAGUUCCAUAUUCAAAUGCAGUGGGUAGCUUGAUGUAUUCAAUGGUGUGUACAAGGCCUAACAUUUCACAUGCAGUUGGUAUAGUGAGCAAGUAUAUGCAUAAUCUUGGUAAAAGGACAUUGGCAAGCUGUAAAAUGGAUUCUAGGGUACAUUUAGAAGACUGUGGAUGUUAGUUUACUGUUUGAGAGAGACGAUACACUUGGUCAAGGUGUGAUCGGGUACGUUGAUUCUGAUUAUGCUGGUGAUUUGAACAAACGACGGUCAACCACCGGAUAUGUAUUUACUUUUAUUGGAGGGCCAAUCAGUUGGAAGUCUACACUACAGUCUACAGUUGCACUGUUGACCACAAAGGCCGAGUACAUGGCAAUUACGAGGCUGUUAAAGAGGCUAUUUGGUUACAAAGCUUGCUUGAAAACUUGAGAUUGGUACAGAAGCAAAUUAAUGUAUAUUGCGACAGUCAAAGUGCUAUUCACUUAACGAAGAACCAAGUUUAUCAUGCACGUACGAAGCAUAUUGAUGUACGAUUUCACUUUGUGUGGGAAAUUGUUGAUGAGGGGAAGGUUCUUCUUCAAAAACUUAAGACUGCAGAUAAUCCUGUAGAUAUGUUGACGAAGGUAGUGACGGCGGCAUUGUCUAAACGUGAUCAAUAUCCUACAAGUUUGAAAGUAGUCGGAGAAGGCAGAGAUUGGAGGAUGAUUUGAUGUACUGGAAGUUUAGUAUUCGGCUCAGAAUUGAAUAAAUCUUAGCCGAGAUGGAGAAUUAUUGAAAAGUCAAAGAAUGACUUGCAAAUUUCAAAAGGCAAAGCUGGUGGGUUUGCCAAAUUCAAAAAAGUAAAGUUGGUCGGCUUGCUAAUUUCAAAAGACAAAGUUGGGUGUUGAAAAGCUUGUGCAUGCAAUACAAGAUCUAGCUCAACGUUUUGACCAAUUGAACCCAACUUGGAGCAAAAUGCACUCUAUAAAUAGAGAAGCAUUUUGCAAUUGUAAGCAUCCAAUUUGAGAGAAGCAGAGAGCAAUUGCAAGUGAGUUCUUUGAGAGAGCUUUAACUUGAGUGUUCUAGUGAGGUUCCAUUUGGGUGUAUUGGGGUUGUGGGUUUUGUAAGUUUUUCUCACUUUUGUAAAUUCCCAUUUGUUGGUAAAAUUAUCUUUCAGUUUUUUACCCGUGGACGUAGGCAUUACGCCGAACCACGUAAAUUAUUGUGUCCUAUUUUCUUUGCAUUUGUUUAUCACCACAUUUAUAUUUCUUUAGAAGUUGCAGUAUUAGUAAUUGCUCAACCCACACUUCCGCAACACAAAUUUCACAAAUUUCACAAAUUUUCCAGAAACGUAUGGGCCCUAUUUUUUUUCAUUUUCAUUCCCUCUUCUAUUUUAAGAAGCAUUCUGAAUUUGAUUCCUGAGUCCCAUGAGUAAACACACUAUUAAUGUAACUCAUGAGUGUAACCAGAGUAGUAAAGGCCAGUAAAGACAGCUGUUAGGAAAAAAAUUACAGCAAAUUGGUCGAAAUUGAUUACUAACAACUCAUUGUAUCCGUAUAUGAAACAAAGUGUUUCAUGCAUGGGGCUGGAAUCAGAUUACCUAAGAGUUUACAAAAUAAAUAAUUAAAUGAUCUCACAAUAUGUAAUAGUUUUCUAAAAUAGAUUUAGGUUAAAACCUUGUCUUUGGUCUUAAUUUUAAUGCGUAAAAAAUAAAAUAAAAACUUUCAAAAGAAAAAAAAUUAAUUUGAAAGACAGUGAAGCAAUUAGCUAGUUACACAUAUCAUAGACCUGUAAGUGGAGCAAUUAGUUUGGAUUCGCAACAAGCACUCGUCUCCUUUCUUAUUUACAUUUUGCCAAAUUCAGAGAGAGAAAUUUUAUGUACAAUUAUUUGUUAAUAAUUUAAAUUACAUAAUGCCCCUUUUGCUUCACACAAGCUCUACUAAACGGAGCAACAUAUAUUAUUCGAGUUAAAAAAUUAACAAGAAUUUAUAAUCGAGAGGAGACGACAUUGCCGGUUACAAGAAAUGGACAAUGUGCCUAAUUAUAUACGACAUGCCGGUUUAUUUUGCGAGGGGGAUCGUAUGAUGAGUAGUUAAUGUCGUCUAGCAGAGUAAGUUAUGUACGUGCUGAUCACUGAUAAUGAACAAAAGUUACAAAACCACUACUCCAUUCUUCAGGAGGACAAAGCCUAGAAAUAGUUAAAUCUCUAUCAUUAGAGUGUUAAGACCCUUUUUUACAUUGAGGUGUUGUAGAAAAAAACUGUAAUUAUAAAAUAAAAGUUAAUAGUAUGUAAUAAACAUAAUUUACAAAUAAUAAUUUUGAUAAAAUUAGUAAAGAUAUAAUAGAUUUUUCAUCAUACAAGUAUAAAAUUAAAUUAACUUAUCUUCAAAACUAUAGCAGAUAGUAUUUACUAAAUAUUUUAGUGCUGCAGCUUUGAAAUUAUAUCUGUCCAAACUCAAUCUUAAAAAAAUCCUAAGUGAGGUCUUGGGGGGUGGGGUGUGCCAAGACUAACCAUCAAGUGAUCUUGAUCCAAGAAUUUUCUUACUAUUUGAGAGUUUUUAAACCUUCACUCAUCAUAAGCAAGAUAAUUCAGAGUAGAAUGAACUAGGUAUGGUACUUGAUUCUGCUAAUUACCCUUGAUUAAGCUCUGAAUUCUCGUAAAAAUAGGACAACUAAACUUGAUCGUAUGCUUACAAAAGAUAUUCUAACGCUCAAGUAAGUGUUUGGAGAUUUUGAAAGCUAAUUUAAAUCUGAAUUUUCUCUUGACUUGAUUUUGGAAAUUGGCCACAAGAUCAUUUCUCAAUCUUUCAACUCAUAUUUAUUGACUGAGAGAUGAAAGAUUGGGGAGAUAAUGCUUUUUAGAUUUGAAUCAUUGCCAUUCAUUCUUGUAAUUUGAUUUUGAUAGUUAAAUUCAUUAACUAUUUUUGUUUCUAUUCGAGUUUUCUGCUCAUGGUUCUGUUAGUAAUCACUUAGCGUUACUUAUCAACAUUUUUGGGUUGAGAAAUAUACAAUUUUUAAACAAGUACAGGAAAUGCAAAUUAAUUCUUAAAAUAAAAAAGAAAUGUAGAAGAUAAAAUUUACAGCUUAUUGGAACUCCAGUGAAGUAUUUGCUCAAAGGAAAGAAGGUAAUCAGAUCACACAAUUUCUAGCUCCGCAUCCUCAGCUCUAUUUGUAUGUUUGUAUUCCAAAAGCAAGUCUUAGUGAAAAUUGACUUGCAUAAUUAAUAUUAUUCGUUAUAAACUUCCAUAAUUCUAAAGCACUUGUUAAUAGAAAAUCGCUUUAGAUUGUACUUAAUCAUACUUCGGCACUCUCAUAAUGUAUUCCUUAAUCUCAUCUAACCAUAAAAGAAAAUAUUUAGGACUAUAAUUUCCAUCAAGCAUUCGAAACAUGAGGUCUUUUGAAUAUUCCAAUCACAAAUGCAAAGCCAAUGCAAAACUAUAAACAAGGCUGAACUAUCAGGUGUGGUAUGGCUACCAGUUGGUGGCCAUAAUUUGGUGUGAUGAUGGUUAAAUCUUGUAGAUAUUGUGGUAAGGAACAUGAUGGUCACUAUGGACUGGUCAGAUUCACAACAGUAAAAGUGGAUCGAAGAGGUGAAUCUCACAGGUUUUGAAGGUUUUGUGUGGUGGGUUAUGGUGGCUUUAAGAUGGCUAAUCAGACACAGUGGUGGCUUGGAUUGGGUGUAGUAGACAGAAGGAAGUUUGAUGAUGGUUGAUUGAUGGUGAGGCAUCAGUGUUAGUGGUGGCACUAGAUGAAACUAGGAAACUACAUUGCUUCAGGUAGAGUUUGCUUACAACAACAUGUCAAAUCGAUCUACUAGCAAUACUACUUUUGAGAUUGUCUAUACUUAUUCCAUAUGCUAUGUCUAUUAUCUGGUUGGGAUGCCAAUAGUAGUCGGAGGAAGUAAAUCAAUGGAUAAUGUGGCAGAAAAAGACUGCAGAUUCAUGCAGAGGUGUGAGCUGACUUGGAGGUUGCCAAUGCUAUGUACAGGGCUAAUGUGGACAAGCAUCAACGCAAAAAAGUAUUUUAGGAAGAUGAUUUGGUGAUGGCACAUCUAAGGCAUACCCAUUUUCCUGGCAUUCACACUAAGUUGGACAAGCAGAAGUGUAGUCCAUCUCAUGUGGCGAUGUAGAUUAAUGAUAAAACUUAUGUGCUGCCGCUGCAAGAAAAUUGGAAUAUCUCUCACACUUUUAACGUGGUUGAUUUGUUUGAAUAUCAUCCAAAUGGUGAAGAGUUGAAUUGGCAUAACUCGAGGGCGAGUUCUUUGCUUUGAUACCAACUAAUGAUGCAAAAAUGUAAAAAAAUUGAUUGAUAAUAUAAACUAGGUUUUUGAAUAGCGAAAGUUUUAUUAGAAAAGUCUUAAUAAACAAAACUAGGGUUUGAGGUCCCCUUAUCGUGAAUUUACUAAAAUAGGAAAAUUUGAAAUAUUAUUUUAUAAUAAAUACUCCUAAUCUAAUUAAGGAAAGCAAAAUAACCGCACCCAAAUUCAAUGUAAAAAAAAAAAGAUAAAAAUCAUGAAAGUAAUAGACAAAUAAGAAAAUAACUUAAAAAUAAAAAAAGGACCAAGAAGGAAGCAAAAUUCUCAGCUCAAUCACAGGCAAAAUAGUACAACCAGCUCUGGAUUUGAUUCAUCUCGUCGUAAGCUUUGAAACGAUAUAUUUUAUGGCAAAAAUAAACACCUAUAGCCCAUGUUAUAACCUUCGGAAGAUACCCUACUCAUUCAACACAAAAGUCCUACAACAAUAUGGCAAGUACAGAGGCUAUUAGGGAGGCUAUUUGAUUACAAGGUUUGUUUGAAAUCUUGGGACAAGUACGGGAGCAAUUAAGAUGUUUUAUGACAGUCCAAGUGCUAUUCACUUAGCAAAGAAUCAAGUUUAUCGUGCACGUACAAAAUAUAUCAACAUAUGAUUUCAGUUUGUGCAAAAAAUAAUCAAUGAGGGGGAUAUUCUUCUUUGAAAGGGCAAGACCGUAAAGAAUCCCACAAAUAUGUUGACCAAGGCGGUGGUGACAAUCAAGUUUAAGUAUUAUCUAAAUAUGAUCAACAUCUUGCAAGCUUAAAAUAGUAAGAAAGGCAGAGAUUGGUGGGUGAUUUACUGUACACAGUUUAAUUUCUUUCAAAUAAAGGUAGAGAUUUAUUGAAAUAUUGAUGUCAUGUGGGAAAUCAUUAAAGACAAAUUGGCGAAUAAUUGAUUGGUAAAAGCGUGAAGAUGAAAUAGUAAAACUAUUUGACAAUUCUUUUCGUAAAAUUAAAUGCUAUACGGCGAUUUUGGCGAAAAUGGAACGUGGCAACAAAUUGCACAUGCAAAAUUGUUAACAAAAUGUGCAUGGCUUUAAUGCAUGCAAUUAAAGUUGCUAUCUCCAUGUCAUGGGAAAUUGAAAGGAUGGCAAUUCAUGCUCCUUUUGUCAAGAUUUGCCCAGCAAAAUGGCGGCUUGUCCCAGUGGAUUUUGUUCCAUAAUUGUCAACGGGCAAAGCCAUUAGAUGCCUAUAAAUAGAGCCUCAUUCCACAGAGUUAAAGUCAUCCCAAAUUGUAAAAAUUUGAGAGCAUUUGCAAAUGAGCUCUUCAAUAAUGCAGAGAGAGCACUUUCUUAGAUGUUCCUUGAGUAUGCUGCAGUAAUUUUUUACUUUACUGAUUUUGUAGAUCCUUUUGUUUUUGCUGCUCUAUAAGGCCUCGGCUACUGACGGUCUUUCUCUAACCGUUUCUGUACCUACAGCGGAACCUUAUAAUAAACUUUCCAUGUUUGUAGAGUUGCCGUGCUUGUUCAGCUGAAUGAUACUUUUGUCCCCUGCUCUUCUCUGAAGUAAAUUUUAUAAAUCAAAUAUAUGGUAUAAAUCAGAAUAGUACUUCAUCCAUCUCUCAAAUCUUAUUAUACAAUUAUUAUUCAAUUCCAUUUGUCUUUAUAAAUUAAUUUAAUUUGUACAGUUUCAUUAAUUUACAGCAUUUUGUCAGACUUAAAAUUGAUUUGAUUUGCCAAAUUCGGGACCCAGCCCUCUUUCUCCCCCCAAAGUAUCCAGUAUUUAACUGAGAAUUGAGUAGUGUAGAUAUAUCCCUCUAAUUAUGAGGGUAGAAUUCUGGAUUGUACUUUAGUGAGAAUUAAUCAAGGUGAGUCCUAGUAGAAUUCUAAUUGUAAAAUAUGUAAGUAGAAUUUCCACAUAUUGAAAAAAAAAAAUUGAUUUAAUUUGUAAUGUUAAGUGAUAUUCCACAAACAUCAGCCACAAUAUCAGAAGUCACCCCCGCCCAUGUUAUUCAAGUGAAAUCCAUAAAAUUUCAAUAAGAAUAAAUCUCAACAACCAAAGCCUUUGUAAGCUUGAUGUGCAAUAUUACUUAGAAGAGGCAAGCUAAGCUAUUCAACUAGAACACCAGAAGCUGUAAGGAAGGGGGAAAAAAUCCAAUCAGAUUGCAAAAAGCUAGGCUUAUUAAUUUAGAGGAUUGCUACACAUCCCAAAUCCUUUAUCCCAAAAAAUUUAUUCCAAAUGUUGUGUCAUUCAUCAAUUAGUUAGUAAAUAUUUUACUUAGAUCUUGUAAAGAAUUACCAACCACUCAAUUAAUAACACCUCAUUUGGGAUAAAAUUUAGGAUAAAAAUUUUGAGAGGUCUAUCAUUACUCCUAAAUUUAUUGUUUAUCCAAAUGUACACAAAAUAUAAGAUAUUUUGCAGGAAAAAAAAGAAAAGGAAAUAGACGGUUUAGUAUUACAAUCUAAUUUGAGUUAAAAACCCCUCUGUGAGCCAUUUUCUUGCCCCAGAUUGAAAUAAAAAUAAAGUUAUCCAGAUGGCCUUCAGCUGGACAUAAAAUGAGGUUAAUGAGUGCCAUAUACACGUGUGCGCGCACGCAAUAGUGGAUGCAAAAAUAAGAAAGCUGUACGAAGAAACAAUGCUGCAAUGAUAAGAGAAAUUAAGAAUACAAAACAGAAUAUUUAUUUCAGUCCUUUAGUUUUCCCUAAAUCGCAAACUCACAUAGCUUCAAUUUCAAAGAUCAUGAAUGCAAUUUUGAUUCAUGGAAGCCACAUUCUGAACAACUAUUGGAAUAUUGUUUGUUUCUGAUCCAAGCAGAGCAUUCUCUGGUAAUUCAGCAUAAGAAAAUUUUCAAGAGUAGAUAUAGUAAAUAAUAAAAAGAAUGUAAAUGAAUUAUAAAUAGCAAAGUACAAAAAUUGAAAUUGAGAUAUAUGCGCAAGAGGGUAAUCACCAGGCUUCACCCAAUCGCUCUUCAUUCGAGCUCUCUAAACCUUUUAGGUUGUGGUUCCUCAUCAUCACAGCAGCCACUUCCACUGGCUUCUGCCCCAAAGUAUUCAGUAAGGCUUCGCUUUGACGUUGUGGCUACAAUCAUCUUCGAUCCAACAAAAUGUUAUCGAAUUCAUUCAGAUUAUAAACAGUAAAACGACUUGGUUGGUUUGUCGUUUGGUCUAACUCCUCCACUUCGUCCAUAUAAACUGGAUGUAAACCACACAUCUUCACCUCCAAUCCUUGGCCCAACCAGGGUUCAAGUGAUACAUUAACAUGAUUAGAUUCAAAGGCUCAAGAUUAGACUCUAAAGGCAAUCUAAUAUCGUAGCAUGUUUGACGAGACAAAUAGAGUAGCCAAAGAUGGUCUGACCCAGCCUGACCGAAUUUAUCUCUAAAAUCAAUUCGAUAACUGCCAUGUCCAAUGCGGCAAUUCAACUGAUGUGUGGGAUAUGAACCAAAACGAUUGUUACCACGUGAAUUUUUUAGGACAUGAAAAACACAGCAGAUAGCAUAUCCCACCAACUUUUUCUUAUUAUACAGAUUUGAAGGCCUUGUGACUGUUAUUGAAGAUCCCUCAUUCUGAUACAUGAACCACUCCGGUAUUUCACUUCCUGGAACAACAACGCUUAAAUGUUGUCUUGUAUUUGACACUGCCUGCAUCCAAAAUAAUAAUAAUAAUAAUGAAGUCCAAACCAUUGCUUAAUGUUUUGGCAUAUAUAAUUUUGGCAUACGGAGUAAAAAACUGACCUCUAGGUACUCUCGUAGCAUUGAAAACGCCAAACUUUUGUUGCCGAGCAAUUUUAAGCUGUCUAAACAAUUAAUCAUUGUGCUGUCGGGCUUGCAUAAUUUUAAAGCAUCUAAUAAUGUCACUAACGAAGCACAACCAUUUACUCUAACUUCCCUGAUAUUGGGUGGAAGUUGUGGCAGAGAUUGAAGCCUCUUGCAAUCCUCCAAUUCAAUAUUCCAAAGCUUAGAAAGACGGGUAAUGCUUGUUGGAAGUGAAACAAAGCUGUUUUUACUCAAAUAUAACUCUUCUAAUGAGCAUAGGUUGCCAAUAUCACUUGGAAGGGCUCCUUCCAUUAGAUUACAAUCAGUGAGAUUCAAUUUCCUCAAAGAACACAAACCUGAGAGAGAAGGCAACUUCAGAGCCACAGACUUUCGCAUUAAGUUGAUUGGGAUGUACGAAUACCAUGACGUCGAAUGUGGUACAGCUGUUCCACUGAUAUCAAGCUCCUCCAAACAUUCAAUUUGUCCAAGUGUCUCUGGCACAUUUUCAAGUUUGAAGCAGCCAGAGAGAUUCAGAGUUUUAAGAGAUUUCAAGGCAAUUAUACUGCUUGGAAGUCUCACAAGAUUUUUACAGUCACUCAAGUUCAGCAAUUCAAGUUUUGUCAAAAGUUCUAUGGAUGAUGGCACUUCUUUGAUAGAAGUUCCAUCUAAAAAGAUCUCUGACAGAUCUUUCAUACUUCUUACAAUCUCAGGAAACUUCUUAAGUUUCGAGCAACCAGAGAGCUUUAAAGUCCUAAGACAUUUUAAACUACUUACAGUAACUGGAAGAAUCUCGAGACUCCUGCAAUUUUUCAAAUUCAACAAAACAAGGCCGGACAGAAGUUCAAUUGAUAGUGGCAAUCCUCUAAUGGCUGUUCCCUCCAAAUGAAGCUCCGACAGAUGCUCCAUAUGUUCUACAAUCCCUGGAAACUCUCUAAAUUUCAAAUCACCAGAGACAUCCAAAGUUGAAAGACAUUUUAGACCACUUAUGGUCGUUGGAAGACUUUUGAGAUUCUUGCAAUUGUUUAGAGCCAGCAAGACAAGUUUGGAUAGAAGUUUAAUAGAUAAUGGCAGUUCUUCAAUAGCUGUUCCAUCCAACAAAAGCUUCGACAAACACUCCAUACUUCCCACGAUGUCCGGAAAUUUCUUUAAUUUCGAGCAACCAGAAAGAACAAGUUUUUCAAGAGAUUUCAUCAAAAUCUUGCCAGGAAGAGUUAUAAGACUUGUACAAUCUUUCAUGUUCAAUAUGAUAAGCUUAUUGUGAAGCAGCAGAGAUGGGUGAAUUUCAUACAACCUUGUACAUCCUUCAAGAAUCAGCUUCUCUAAAUUUGGGGCCCCUGUGAAGUCUGGCAUCCUUAUCAAGUUCUCGGAAUGGCUGAGUAUCAUGACUUUCAACUUGUCUAAACGCUGUAGAAAAUAAAAAGGAGCGAGAAAGAUAUUUCUUAAUUCAAUUAGAGAGGAAUGGCAAAACUAAUAAAUUUAUAUACUAUUAUUCACUGAGAAAAUAUAUAUUAGUGACAAAAUUGAUCUUACUUUGAUUCCCUUCCACAAUUCUCCUAUGCGGCUAUAAGACAUGUUAAUUUCAAUAGUUUUAUCCAUUUGCAAAUUUGAUGGCAAAAAUUUCAAAGGAUAUCCAUGCCAAUCAAGUAACCUUAACCAAUUAGACAGGUAUUCAAGGCCAUUAGGAAGUUGCGGAUUACAAAUUUUGAGCAAUCUUAGGUUGGUCAUCUUCGAAAAUGCUUUAGCACUCGCACACAAAUACACCUCAUUUUGAAGAUGGUAGUUAUCAAGUACUAUUCCUUCCACUAGUUCAGUUCCCUGAAAAAAUCAUAAGCAAAGGAUAGACAAUAAAAUAAUAAUGUAAAGAUGUUGAAAAGUUGUCUGAGAUUUAAGUAGGUGAAAGAAAUUAACAAGCACGAGCUGAGGAAUACAUGUUUUCCAAACAAAUUAGUCACUUACUGUGCUUUCUGUCAACACAUGGCAUACUUCUUCUUCCUUCCAUAAUCUGCUGCGUUUCCCAGGUUCUUCAGGUGAUUGUCUCUGGACAAUUUGUUGCCCUAAUUCUUGUAACAAAUCAUGCAUCCACAGUGUGUUAUUAUGCACAGUUAUUAGACAUUUUUCAAUGAGAACUCUUAUUCCAAUAACUGGAUGAAAACCACAUCCCUCUAGAAAAUUCGUGACAUAAUCCCUAUCAUUUCCUUUAAAGAAACAUGCAACAUCGAGAAAUAUUUUUUUCUCUAGCUCCUGUAGCCCAUCAAAACUUAUUUGAAGUAUAUCCAGAAUCUCACUAGGAGGUUCUAUUUCUAGCCGUUCCAGGGUACUUCUCCACUCAUCCACAGAUCUACCAGACAAAAAGGAACCCAAAACUUCUACAGCCAAUGGAAGACCACCAGCAUACCGGAUAACACGUGCAGAUAGCUGCACACAUUCUUGCAAAGGUUGAUAAGUUUUAAAAGCUUUCAUAAUGAAGAGUUGAAGAGCUUCAUCAUAAUUUAGCCCAUGAGGCCUAUACACUUCAUCAACCCCAUGUGUUUUCAACAACUGUUCGUCUCUUGAUGUUAUGAUGAUCCGGCUGCCUGAACCAAACCACUCACGAUUUCCAGCUAAACUUUGUAAUUGUUUUACAUCAACCACAUCAUCAAUAACAAGAGCCUUUUUUCUUUGCAGUCUACUUCCUAACAUGUCGAUACCAUCAAAGACAUUCCAUAUACUAUUAUCUGCAAGCUUUAAUAACUGGGAAAGGAGUUGCCUUUGUAAAGAGACUAGGCCCCCUUUACCGGAAAUUUCUCUAACAUUGGCAAGGAAACCACUUGCUUCAAAUUCAUGAGAGAUCAAGUCAUAAACAACUCUUGCUGUCUUACCUAGACCUCCCAUCCCACAGAUCCCUAUCAUACGCACAUCACUAGACCCUGAGUCCAUAAGAAACCUUAGUUUCUCACAACGUGAAUCCAUUCCUACUAGCUCCUUAAGAGUCUCUGGUUUUGUACGAAUUUUACUUGAUACCACAUUGACAAUUUCCUCAAUAAGUUUUGACUCAUUGCUACAGAUUGAAAUCAACGAGAAAAGAUUAGUGUUAAAUUAAAGUAAGUGUGGACGUGGAGUCAAAUUAAUUCCAUUAAAUGUACAUAAAAAUUAUGCAAAAUUCAUUGGACCAAAUUGAAAUAAUAUAUUUUACAUAUGGAAAAUCUUUAGUUGUGUUCUUCAUGUAAAUAUCUACAUUGAUCUGUACCUCUCAGUUUGCAAAAAUAAACUUGUGGAGCUACUAUUUCAAAUACUACACAUCAUAUGAAAUAUGUAUUAACUAGAAGCAUUUUAAUUGAAAACACUCUAAAAGCUGUUUAAGAAUGGUUACCUUUGUUUUAAUUCCCAACCGGAGAUAUUAGCCACCUCUUUCAAAAUGUCUCUCCACUUUUGCACCUUUUCUUUAUUGUCCCUAAAAACUUCUUCAUGUUUAGCAAAUGCCUCAUGAAAAUUUCUUGUCUGUUUUCUUACCACAGUCGGUUCCAUAUCAUAGAAAAUAGGAAAAAUUUGAUCUUCUGCGUUCUUGCAUUCAACAAUCUUAACAAGUUCAUCCAAGCACCAAGUGGAAGAAGCAUAGUUUUGCGAGAAAACAAUAAUUGAUAUUCUUGAUUCUUCAAUUGCUUUAAGGAGUUCUAGUGGAAUGGAUCUUCCUCUCUCAAGUUCUUUGUCAUCCUUGAAUACAUAAAGUUCUUUAUUUUUCGACGCAGCAUAGAGAUGACCUGUGAAGCGUUUACGGGUGUCUGCUCCUCUAAAUCUUAAGAAGGCAUCAUAUUUCCAAUGAGAGAUAUUUUGGAUGCUGGUGGAAGCCAUUAUAUCUUUUUCCUGAAAAUUUACAAUAAACUAAGUGGCUUCCUGGGAACAAAAUACCCAUCAUUACUAUGCAAACAAAAAUGCAAUAUAUAUCUCAAUUGUCAAAGUUGUAUAGCUCUAGGUUGCACUGCACUGAAUUGCAUUAAGCUCUGAAGCAAUACCAUGUGUUAGGUAAAUAAGAGCACCAACUCGGCCAUGCCAUCAAUGGUACGAGCAGAACACUGAUAAUGAGCCCUCUACAAACAUGGGCCGACUAGAGACGAGUACCAGCCAGAGGAAUAUACCGACCAGAGACAUAUACCGAGCCGAUACCCAUUCCCCAAAGAGCGGGAACACGAUCCCACAGAAUCACAACAGUUGUGCUUUUCCCAAAACCGUUGAGGGAAGCGCGAGAUCCCACGUUUGCCCAUAAUGCAGUAGUUAGAGUCCCAUGAGGGGCUGCCACUACCCGAACAAGGGGGGAUGAAGGGUAAACGGAAACGUGGGACAGCGGCUAUAAAAGAGGAAGAAAUCGAUGAAGAAAGGGAUAGAAAAAUUGAGAGAAGGGAAAACUCUGUCAAAUUGAAACCAGACCAUUUUCAAUACAAAUUGUGAGCCCAUUAUAAGCAAUUUAUCGAAUCUUAAUUGUACCGUUUUCCCGUAAACACCUUGUGCUAACUUAGGCAUCGGAGGGUUUAUGCCGGCAAAACCACUGGCGUCUCUGAUCCACUUUUGUGAACGCAGGCUUAGUGGGAGAAAGAAGGAUAAUUCCAACUUCGGUGACUAGAGCAAUCGUCGAAGCAAGAAGAAAUUGACAUCCUCACUGUUGAUAAUAUAAACGUUGGUGUAAAGAUCUGGUCGGGCAAAGGACGAGCAGAUUUCAGCAUCAACAUUUUGGCGCCGUCUGUGGGGAGCUGGAUAAAAAGCUACCACCAAGUUAAUAGUAACUGGAGAAGCAACGAACGAUUAGAUAUGGAUGUGUCAAGGAAGGAUGCUUUGAGGGAUGACAAUGAAACUGUUGAGACAAUCACUCUCCGGGAAAUUGCGAAUGAAGCUCAAGAGAGGAUGAUGCAAGAUCGACUGGAGCGGAUGGAGAAAUAAAUGGAGACUCUCACGGCCAUACUGUAUGAGCUGAGGGAUGAGCGGAGAAGGGAUUGUGAAACCCCCGCGAGGAGAGAUGAAGUUGGAGCAGAACCCAGCCUCCGGAGGCCUAAAGUCGAGGAAAUUCCUCCGCCGGUGGACCAACCUAAUGGGGUACAUCCCCACAGAAGUACUGGUCAGGUUCCAACAGAACACGUGGAUGAAAGGAGGGACCAACCUCGUCCCGGACGGGUAUUGGAAAUUGAUGGCCGAGCAGCCAAUGUUGAUGAAGGAGAGCUCAGGCAAUGGUUGCAGAAUGCCGAGCAAGAACGAGAUCAGAUAGCUGCACGUGAUCCUGACCGUGCUGUAGAAUUGGAGGGAGAGGUGCGCAGAUUGGCACAGGUGAUGGAGGAGAUACAGGGCAAGAGAAAGCCCCCGAGCUGGAGGAUAAUGCUAGAUGAAGAAUCUCCGUUAUCAACCGAGAUCAUGGGUACUGUAAUCCCAAGAGACUUCCGCUUCCCCGACCUCAAAUACUCCGGGCGAAGUGACCCGUUGGUGCACAUUGAACGUUUCAACGACAUGACGGGUGUGCAGGGGCUGACACCAGCUCAGAGGUGCAGGGUGUUCCCAUUGACGCUAAAGGGACAAGCCCGAGAAUGGUACUGCAAGCUGCCCCGAGAAAGUAUAAAAGGGUACGAGCAGAUGUACCAAGAGUUGGCCGAACAGUUCCGAGGAGCAGUAGCCUUAAAGGACGACAUGAUAGAACUGAUGGGGAUGAAGCAGGAGGAGCAUGAAUCCCUUCAGGAUUUUGUAAAACGAUAUCAUCGGGCCGUGCUGGAUCUGGGAGCUUUUAAUCACCCGCAGGCGUUGAGGGGAUUAAAAGAAUGUGUAAGAAUCAGCCGAUUGUGGAAUAACUUAAGAAGCCCCAUAGUGCAGAAUUACUCGGCGGGGUAAGAACAGGCGAGGCGAGAUAUAGAAAUCGAAGAGGAGAAAUCGGCAAGAAUAAAAAGUGAACAGCUGGAAGAGCUGAGACGAAAGGAACGGAGAGCCCCGAACGAGAACGAAUCGGGAAAGCGAGCUGGGGAAUCCUCAGUAAUGGGCGGAAUAUCAGCUCUGUCCCACCCUUACCCCAUAGCUCAGAGACCACAACAGUUCCAACACGGCCGGGCUCAACCUUCACGCCCCCCAUUCCCGGAGCGGCAACGAGAAUUCAGACAGAUGGCUGCCUACCCUUAUCACAACACUCCCAGAGCGUUACAUGCAACUAAUUCCAGGGCUGGACGACCAGAUCAGCUACCGACGAUACAAGCCCGAGGUGAUAUCCAUGAUAGCCGAGCAGUUCAACUGGUUGACCAGAGCUUGGCGUAUAGACAGUACACCCUAUUAAAAAUCUCCAUGGAGGAAUUGUAUGAGAGGAUCGAAGGACGAGGUCUGCUAUACCCUCCGGCCCCUAUAACAAAAUCUACUCACCGACGUGAUAAGAGCAGGUUCUGCAAAUUCCACAACACUCAUGGUCACACUAUCAGUCAAUGUCAUGACCUAAAGAUUCAGGUGGAGGAUUUAGUGAGGAACCGGUACUUGGAUGAGUAUGUAGAUGGAGUGUCCCCCGUCAUUGAAUCACAGUACAUGCGGGAUGAAGGAGUUGAGAGGGGUCUGGAACGGGAACAGCCGACCAUCCGUGUGAUAGUAGGAGGGCCAACAUUGGCCAGGGAUUCGAACAGGGCACGGAAGAACUAUGGGAGAUACGCCAUGACUGGCAAAGAGGUGCUUCUCAAUUUGCCAAUAGCCAAGAGAGCAAAGGGGCGGCAAGUUCCCAUUAUGUGGACGGAGGACGACGAAGAGGGUAUUUUAUAUCCUCAUGAGGAUGCACUGGUGAUUAAAGCAUUGGUGGCUAGUACAGAAUUGCAGCGAAUACUGGUGGACACGGGCAGCUCAGUUGACAUUCUGUUUAAGUCGGCCCUAGAUGAUAUGGGGAUUUUAUACUUGAAGCUGAAGCGGACGAAUACAUCCUUGAAGGGAUUUGGAGGGGGACGGUUAACUCCUAUGGGGAUCAUCGAACUCCUAAUUACUAUGGGGUCAAAGCCGUUUGAAAGAACGAUGAUGCUGGACUUUGUCGUGGUGGAAGAAAGAAGCCCUUACCAGAUGAUACUGGGGAGACCGUUCAUGAGGAUAAGCCAAUGUGUAAUGUCCACGCAUUAUCUGGCGUUGAAGUACAGAAUAAAUGGAGUUGUUGGCGUAGUAAAAGACGACCAGAGAAUGGCAAUGAGCUGCUAUGCUACAGCGGCCAAGGAAACGCUGCAGGUUACCUCUCUAGAUAACCGAGGGGAUUCAAAAAAGGGUCGCCAGGAACCUGUUGAGAAGCUGGAGGGAGUUGUUGUAAGCAAGAAUAACCCGAGCAGAGUGGUUAAGGUCGGGUCAGAAUUGGGCGAAGCAAUAAAAGGCGAGCUGGUGAAGUACCUACAGUCCCAUGCAGAUAUAUUUGCCUGGUCUCAUGAGGACAUGUCAGGUAUUGAUCGAGGGAUAGCUUGCCACAAGCUGACAAUCAAGAAAGGGGCAAGGCCGGUGAGGCAGAAAAGGAGGUGCUUUAACCAAGAAAGGUACGAGGCCAUAAUUGCCGAGGUAGAGAAGCUGUUGAAAGCGGGAUUUAUAAGGGAGGCUAAAUACCCAGAGUGGAUUUCCAACGUAGUGUUGGUGAAGAGGCCAACGGAAAAUGGCGAAUGUGUGUGGACUUCACAAACCUUAAUAAGGCAUGCCCGAAGGACAGUUUUUCCUUACCAAAAAUAGACCAAUUGGUGGAUUCAACGGCGGGGCAUAGUCUGCUCAGCUUUAUGGAUGUCUUCUCAGGAUACAACCAAAUACCCAUAAACGAGUAGGACGAGGAGAGUACCACCUUUAUAACUAACAUGGGUUUGUUUUGUUACAGGGUGAUGCCUUUUGGCCUGAAAAAUGCAGGAGCUACCUAUCAAAGGUUAGUGAACAAGGUCUUCAAACCAUUGAUCGGUCACACUAUGGAGGUAUAUGUAGAUGAUAUGAUCACAAAGUCAAGAGAACCGAAGGAUCAUGUGAAGCACUUGGAAGAGACCUUUGAAUUGCUGAGAAGGUAUGAAAUGAAGCUGAACCCGGAGAAAUGUGCAUUUGGGGUCAGCUCGGGCAAAUUUUUGGGAUACCUGGUGAGCCAUCGAGGGAUCAAGGCCAACUCAGAAAAAAUACGGACGGUGAUAGAAAUGAGGUCCCAAUGAACAGCUAAGGAGGUGUAGAGCCUUACAGGGAAAUUGGCAGCAUUGAACCGAUUCAUUUCGCGAGCCACUAAUAAGUGCCACCCUUUCUUCCAAACCAUAAAGAAAGAGAGGAAGAUGGAAUGGACAUCAGAAUGCAAAGAGGCAUUUGGACAGCUGAAGGAAUACCUAGCCCGCGCCCCGUUACUAUCAACUCCGAGAGAGGGUGACCAGCUGCUUUUGUACUUGGCAAUCUCUAAAUGGGCUACCAGCUCGGUCUUAGUCAGGGACGAAGAAGGGAAGUAACACCCGGUAUACUACACAAGCAAGGCCCUGGUAGACGCAGAAACCAGAUAUCCACUGAUGGAGAAGUGGACGCUGGCUCUAAUAACGGCAGCACGCAAAUUCCGACCAUAUUUUCAGGCCCACCAGAUUGUUGUGAUGACUGACCAGCCCCUUCGGCAAAUGCUUCAAAAACCAGAUGCAUCUGGUCGGUUAGUAAAAUGGUCCGUGGAGCUGAGCAAAUUUGACCUAUCCUAUAGGCCCCGAAGAGCAAUCAAAGCCCAAGCCCUGGUCGAUUUUAUAGUUGACCGUGCUGAACCAGGGGAAGAAAUUCAGGAGGAACAACCAAUAGAGCAGGAGAAACCAGAGGGGGUGUGGCUGGUGAUGGUUGAUGGGCACAUAAUGAACAGGGAUCCGGAGCAAGAGUUGUAAUACGGAGCCCAAAAGGGAUCGAGGUAUCCUAUGCAGUAAAAUUCGAGUUCCAGCUUACGAAUAACCAAGCUGAAUAUGAGGCCUUCAUUACUGGGCUCGGGCUUGCACAUGCACUACGAGCUGAAAAAGUAGAAAUCCGAGCAGAUUCCCAGCUAGUCUGCAAUCAGCUCUGCAACUAAUUCCAAGUAAGGGAAGAGAAGUUGGGGCGUUAUUUGAAGAAGGUGAAGCAAAUGGUUGAACUCUUCAAAGAGAUAGAGGUAAAGCAGAUAUCCCAGAUGAGAAUUACCAAGCAGAUAUGUUGGCUAGAAUGGCUGCAAUUGUAGAUCCAAAAUUACCUAAGUCAGUUCCACUAGAGGUGAGGACCUCGCCUAGUAUAGGGGAGGAAGUAGAGGUAAUGAGAGUAAGCACUGAAGAAUCCUGGAUGGACCCGAUUCUCGCAUACAUCCGCGAUGGCAUUUUACCGGAGGACAAAAGGCAAGCAAGAAAAUUAAAAUGCCGAGCAGCGAGGUACACGCUACUCGAUGGGAUGCUCUACCGCCGAGAAUUCACCUUGCCCCUUUUGAGAUGUUUGGAUGAUGAGGAGGCAGAUUAUGUAUUAAGGGAGAUUCAUGAAGGAAUAUGUGGAAAUCACUCGGGAGCAAGAACUUUAGCCUUCAAGGCACUCCGGCAAGGAUACUUUUGGCCAACCAUGCACCAGGAUGCGAAAAGGAUGGCAAAGAAUUGUAAAAUCUACCAAAGUUUCUCAGAUAUUCCUGCACAACCCCUAGAAAAGUUUACCACUAUGACAUCCCCAUGACCUUUUGCUCAAUGGAGAAUCGACCUGAUUGGUCCGUUACCGAAGGGCCGAGGAGCAGCAACACAUGCAAUUAUAGCAAUAGACUACUUCACCAAGUGGGUAGAAGUGGGAGUCUUCAGCCAAAUCACGGAGAGAAAGACGACGGAUUUUCUUUGGAAUAAUAUCAUCUGGAGAUACGGAAUCCCUUAUACCAUCAUUACAGACAAUGAGAGGUAAUUUGACAACAACUUCAGAGAAUUUUGCCGGAACCUGGGGGUAGACCUGAAGUUCUGCACCUUGCACACCCCCAGGCAAAUGGACAAGUGGAAGCAGCCAACAAAGUAAUAAAGAAACUCCUGAAAACUAGACUGGGAGAGAAGAAGGGAGCUUGGGUCGACGAGCUGCCAGGAGUAUUGUGGGCUUACCGGACAACUCACAAAACCGCCACAGGGGAAACCCCGUUUGCUUUAGCUUUUGGUCAUGAGGCGAUUGUCCCAGCAGAAAUUGGAGUGGAAACACAUCGGACGGAAUAUUUCAAUAAGGAGCAAAACGAUGAGUAGAUCUGCUUGAGCCUGAACCUGCUGGAGGAGAAAAGGGAAGGGGCCUCGCAGAAAGUGGCCCAAUGUCAGCAAAGGGUGAUGCGUUAUUACAACAAGAACGUAUGCGUGAGGCAGUUCCGAGCAGGGGAUUGGGUGCUUAAGAAGGUGAAUCAAAACACUAGGGAUCCUAACCAUGGCGCGCUCGGCCCGAAAUGGAAAGGCCCAUACAGGGUGAUUCGGGCGACUGGACCAUGAGCUUACAAGCUAGCGUACCCAGACGGACGAGACGUGAAGAGGUCGUGGAACGCCGAGCACUUGAAGAAGUAUUUUCAGUAAGCAGAGUGCUCUACUAAGUCUUCAUUUUGACAAGUUAUUUCUAUUAAAUGCAUGAUGAAUUGUUACACAUGCAUAUAUUCUGCAUUUCUGUAAAGCAUUCAAAUUUCAAUAAAGAUGAAUUCAGCAUGAAAUCCCUCUGCUAGCAAGCCCAUUAAAUUUUACUAAGGCAAGUAAGUGUUUGUUCCUGCUCGGUCAACGAAAGACCAGCAGGCAAUUUCACGAAAUUUUACUAAGGCAAGUAAGUGUCUGUUCCUGCUCGGUCAACGAAAGACCAGCAGGCAAUUUCAUGAAAUUUUACUAAGGCAAGUAAGUGUUUGUUCCUGCUCGGUCAACGAAAGAUCAGCAGGCAAUUUCACGAAAUUUUACUAAGGCAAGUAAGUGCAUGUUCCUGCUCGGUCAACGAAAGACCAGCAUGCAAUUUCACGAAAUUUUACUAAGGCAAGUAAGUGCAUGUUCCUGCUCGGUCAACAAAAGACCAGCAGGCAAUUUCACGAAAUUCUACAAAGGCAAGCAAGUGUCUGUUCCUGCUCGGUCAACGAAAGACCAGCAGGCAAUUUCAUGAAAUUUUACUAAGGCAAGUAAGUGUCUGCUCCUGCUCGGUCAACGAAAGACCAGCAAGCAAUUUCACGAAAUUUUACUAAGGCAAGUAAGUGCCUGCUCCUGCUCGGUCAACGAAAGACCAGCAGGCAAUUUCACGAAAUUUUACUAAGGCAGGUAAGUGCCCAAUCUUGCUCGGUCAAUGAAAAACCAGCAGGCAAUUUUAUGGAAUUUUCACUAAGGCAAAUAAGUUCCUAUUCCUGCUCGGUCAACGAAAGACCAGCAAGCAAUUUUAUAAAAUUUUACUAAGGCAAGCAAGUGCCUAUUCCUACUCGGUCGCCAAAAGGACCAGCAGACAAAUCUACAAAUUUGGUUAUAGCAAACAACUAUCUAUUCCUACUCAGUCGAUUAUAGGGCUAGCAGGCAAAGCCAACUAAAAGUGUUAAGGCAAUUUGCAAAAACGAUUUAUAAGUAAAACCACAAUAGAAGAGCCAAUAGAAAGCAUUUAAAAUUUAUGCUAAAAAAUGUUUACAAAACAGAUGAAAAUUUAGAGUUUAUACAAAAAUAGAACUAAAAAUUUGGAGGGUCGACAGCUUCAGCAGUUGAAGAAUCAGCAAUCUCGGGAGGUGAAGGAUCAGCAAUCUUGGGAGGUGAAGGAUCAGCAAUCUCGGGAGGUGGAAGAUCAGCAACACCGGGAGGAGGAGGCAUGGACCCUUGACCCAUUUCAAGAGCACGACCCCCAGCUUCCCCUUCCUACACCCCAUCUACAGGAGCCUCCACCUGAUCCUGCUCACCCUGCUCCUUACCUCCAUGAUCGGCCUCAGCCAUAUAUCUCUGCACUCCAGCCUCCAGCUUGCUCAUGUCCAGCUCGGGAUAUUCUUCCUUAAGCACAGACAUGAUGCACUUAUAGCAGAAAGCAACCCCAGAGUCAUACUAUGCAUCCAGCCAAUCAUCCACAUCAACAGAUUUGCCUUUCGCCUCAGCCAACUGCUCAUUCAAGGAUUUGAUUUCUCACUCAAGGGCGGUCCUCAAAGUAUCUCUUUCACUUUGAGUAGCCUGAAGAUCAGACUUCAGGUCACCCAACUCACCCUCAAGUUUGGAAGAGGUGGACUCAGUAACCGCAACUUUCUCCUCCAGCUCCGUAAUCUACUUGUUUAGCUCAGCCAGCUUCUCCUUCGAGCGAUCAGCAGAUUCAGUUUUUUUCUUCAAAUCCUGAUUGUCAGCUUGAAGCCUCCUCUCAUGGCGCGUGGACCUGUUCUUGUAACAAGAAACUAUAGUGGCCAGCUUGAAGGAGACCCUCUGGACAGAACCAGCCAACUCACUGAGGCUCAUACUCUCGAUUUCCUUCACCAUCUUGGGCCCCACCGAUUUGCCGUAAUCCCUCUAGUACGGGCUCAGGUAGUCACCUUGAUCCCGAGAUGGAAGAGGAGCAGACCGGUCCCCGGAUUGGAUGCUGACCUCGGGACCCUUGUCGGAAGUUUUCUCCCCACCACUCUUACGAGGUGGAGGAGGAGGCAGAGCAGGAGCAGGAGCUUUGGAAGGACUGACGCUGGUUUUCUUUGGAGGAGGAGGAGGGUUACUGGAGCUGCUUGGAGCCCGAGCACAUUUUCUGCUCAUCGCGCUGAGGAUCUUGUUAUCCAUUCCGGCUGCAAUGUCCACUAAGCCCGAACCGACCAAGUUUGUUGGUGACAGGAGGUCUUGGCAAAUAGACGCGUUCACUAGAGCAGUUUCCACCUGAAGCAAAGGUUGGUCUUCAAGAUCCUUAACCAAACCCCACGAUUCUGAAAAAACAAAUAAGGUUAAAGAACCCAAUAAGUGGCAAUUUGAGAAAGAAUAUAGGCAAAAAAUGAAUGACCUGGGGUGACAAAAUGCGUUGGAAGGUAAAUAUCACCACCCAACGAGCGGGCUGCUGGACACCAAUUUCCUCCAGCAAAGAAGAAUUUGUUCUUUCAAUUUUUGCACGAGGAGGGGAAGCCAGUAAUUGGCUUCCUCUUCGCAAAGCUCGACAUGAAAUAAUACCAGCCUGCUUCCUUUGGGCUACUCCUCAGCUGGUAUAAAUGCUUCACUUCAACAAGGAAGGGCUCAUCUGAUCCACACCUCUCCCAUAAUACGAACAUAGCCGAGAGAACCCUCCACCCAUUCGGAUGUAACUGACCUGGGGCCAGGUGCAUACCCCCCAGUAUCUUGGCAAAAUAACGCUGAAGGGGCAGCCGAGCUCCUAGUCUAAAACUCUUCAGGUGCAUCGUCACAUACCCCCGCGGAGGCCGACUAGGAACAUCACCUUUCCCAGGAACUACAAGGGGAACCUCCUCAGGAAUGUUGUAAAGGUUCCUAAGCUUGAAUAGAUCAGUUUGGGUGGUGGCACAGGCUAUGUAGUCGAUAAGGUAAGAAUCCGCCUCCACCCUAUGGCCAAGGUUUCUCUUCUUAGGAGCUCGGCUCGGCUCGGAACUGCUUCUCUCACCAUCACCCACUUCUUCAGGGACCCCAACCCCAUCAGAACUGUGGUUCUCACCAGAGCCCGACGUAGGUCCCCCUCUAUUUCCUACAAGCUCUAAUUCAGGGGAAGGUGAAAUGGUCAGGGGACGUGGGUACUCAAGGGUAUCCCUGCCAUGGGAGGGGCCUACACUACUCGAGGGACGUAAAAAAUCAGUGUGUAUUGACAAGUUAAGGUGUAAAUCCUCUGUUUCUUUGUCACUCUCAUCUGCAAUCAACUUCCUUCUCCGAUUUGACAUAUCGAAGUCCCAAAAGGAAACCAAAACAAACCCGAGUAUACGAAUACAAAAAGGGGCAACAUAGAACCCAAUCAACAACAACCAAAGAAGAGGUUAAAGGCUAUACUUGGAAUAGACUGGCACUGAUAAUGUUGCUGUGAUGGAGGAAAGACCCAGUAAACGGAAAUCCCAGACGCGGAAAGUAUGAACGAAGUUCGUAGGAGUUGUCUCACGACAGAGAAGCGAAUAGUAAAACGAUGAUGAUUUCAAUCUAGGGAUUUGAAACGAAAAGGGGGAAAUGGAAGCGUUUAAGUGAUGGGCAUGCCAGCUCACUCACCUUAUAUCGAGGAUGGAUAGCCCGUCGUUUCAAAUUUCAAAUACGAAGAGUCGGGAAGCGCCACGUCACUAACUAUUAUAAAAGGCCUGACGAGACAUAGGCCCAAAUAUUUACGAGAUAUAUUCAUAAAGGCCCAUACUCGGAUAAAAAUCUCCUCAGACGAGAGAGGGAACCUCAGGUCCAUCCCAGUAAACAGAAGACCAAAUGGGAAGUUUCCCGGGCCGGUAAGAUUCGAUUAUCAGUUUCUACUCUCAACUCCUUUCACUCGCAAGACCAGAAACUGGGGGACUGGUGUUAGGUAAAUAAGAGCACCAGCUCGGCCAUGCCAUCAAUGAUACGAGCAGAACACUGAUAAUGAGCCCUCUACAAACAUGGGCCGACCAGAGACGAGUACCAGCCAGAGGAAUAUACCGACCAGAGACAUAUACCGAGCCGAUACCCAUUCCCCAAAGAGCGGGAACACGAUCCCACAGAAUCACGACAGUUGCGCUUUUCCCAAAACUGUUGAGGGAAACGCGAGAUCCCACGUUUGCCCAUAAUGUAGCAGUUAGAGUCCCAUGAAGGGCUGCCACUACCCAAAAAAGGGGGGAUGAAGGGUAAACGGAAACGUGGGACAGCGGCUAUAAAAGAGGAAGAAAUCGAUGAAGAAAGGGAUAGAAAAAUUGAGAGAAGGGAAAACUCUGUCAAAUUGAAACCAGACCAUUUUCAAUACAAAUUGUGAGCCCAUUAUAAGCAAUUUAUCGAAUCUUAAUUGUAUUGUUUUUCCGUAAACACCUUGUGCUAACUUAGGCAUCGGAGGGUUUACGCCGGCAAAACCACCGGCGUCUCUGAUCCACUUUUGUGAAUGCAGGCUUAGUGGGAGAAGGAAGGAUAAUUCUAACUUCGAUGACUAGAGCAAUCGUCGAAGUAAGAAGAAAUUGACAUCCUCACUGUUGAUAAUAUAAACGUUGGUGUAAAGAUCUGGUCGAACAAAAGACGAGCAGAUUUCAGCAUCAACACCAUGUUUAAAAAAUAAUAAAAAAUUAGAUUAACACUACUGUAGCAACGUUUUUCUAAACAGUGCAGCCAGCCCAAAACCUGCUCCCAGAAUAUAUUUUAAUGCUGGUCUAACUACAUCAGCAAACAUUGCAACUAAAACUUGUAGCUAAAUAUGGGAUAACAAAAUUCUGAUAAGGAACAGUAUUUUAAUGCAGGCUGCCAAACGAUCUUCUUCUUCUUAAUAAUAGAUAAACUUACUAAGCUUGCGAAAGGUUCUGAUUUCGAAGUUAAUCAUCUUCUUCUUAAACAAACUAAGCAGACCCAUCAGCUUCUUAUUUACUUCAUUUACCAAAAAGGAAAAAUUAUACCUAAUAAAUCCCAAAUUGUAAUAAAAAAAUUUAUUUUCAAUGCUGAUUGAAAAAAAAAAAAUCCUUCUUUUACAGUCAGGGCAUGCAAACUAAUUGUGAAAAUAAAAGAGAAAGGACCAAGCUAAAACUUACAGGUUGAAGCGUGUAUCGCAGGGAGCCACUUAAUUGAACUCCAAUGAAGUGUUUGAAUGAAAGAAGGAAAAUAUAUUUCUUCUGUGUAAAAGCAAUCAGGCAAUUUCGGAGCUCAGUGUUCUGCUGUAUGUCUUCAGAAGUCCUAUUUCCAAAAGCCAAAAGCCUUGGUCAAAACUAACUUUCAAAGGUUUUGCCCCCACGAAAUUUCCUUGAAGCUACAAGAAAUGUUUUAUUUUUUUUUAAUACGCGUGUUGAAAAGCGGGAAAACACUCUUUUUGUCACUUUUAUCUUUUUUUUGUUCUUUUUUCCUUCCCACCCCCCGCCCCCCUCCAGCUACGGUGGCGCUAUUUAUUAGAUGUAGGUGUCCAGUUGUUUUCACAAUUAUUUUAUGUGACAUCAUUUUCUUAAUAUUUUUAGAUUGCGGUAAUACCUAGUUGGGGACAGAAAUGUGAAGGUUGGACAUGUGGCAAUCUUUGACUAAACAAGCCAGUCGGGAUAAAUAAAAUAAUAUUUGAAACGCUUUUUUCAACUUUUUAUUUUCAAUUCAAAACCGAAAUGUCAAAAAAUUGAAACCACAGGUUAUCAGCAAAAAGUAAAACUAAGACAAAAAAUAAAAUAAGACCAAAAAUAAAAAUUUCUCAAAUUUAUGAGUAAUUAUAUGUAAUGGGGUAAUGCUAGACACACCAUUAGAAUAAGGCUAACGCUACGUUACGUUAAACGUAAGAUACAUUCCACAAAGAUAAUAUCAAUAAGUGCCCCUAAUUAUUAUGGAAACUACAUUAUUUGAAUUAAAAGAAAUACUUUUAAAUCUCAAAGAAGAAAUGAAAGAAAUCAAACAAGAAAUAGGAAAGAUAAAAAUAGAAUUGUCUGUAAUUCAAUUAAGCCAAAAGAAAAAUAAAAGAGUGGAAAAAUUUGAAAUACUAAAAUCUGGAAUAAUUGGAACAAGCCUUAAAAAACCCAUACAAAAACCUCAACCAGGCAGCUACGAUGACUGGUUUGUAAAGACUCAAUACCCAAAAAUAUUAGAAGAAACAGAAAAAUUAAAAGCAGAAUUAAAAAUUGAAGAAAAAGGAAAAGAAAAACUAGAAAUAAAAGAAACAUCACUUAGCGAUACUGAUUAAUGGAUGAAAUACUAGAAGAAGUAACUGAAAAAUUCAGUGACAUAAAUCUAAGUGAUUUGGAAGAAUUUGAAAGAGAAUAUUGUGUAAAAAUGAAUACUGCUGGAGGACCAGAAAUGAAACCUAAUGUAGCAGAGCCAAGCCAUAGAUAUGAAAUACAAAAGAAGAAAAGACCAUUUUUUGAAUAUAAUCAAAUAGACAAUCCUUACAUGGAAGAAGAGGAAAAACCCCUAAAUCCAAAAGAAGAAGAAUAUAAACAAUUUUCUACAUGGAUAUAUUCCACUUGUUCUCAUAAUAAUACAAUAUUUAGAGCACCUGGAAAAAAUAUGUACCCCAGGAUGAUUGUUACAAAAGGAGCAGACCCACUCCUUGUUGGGAAAAUAGCAAAAUAUGGCUAUUUAGACUUAGUAUAUCCUAGUGUAGAUCUUCGAGAAAUAGCCAGCUUUGAUGAGUUACUAAUAAAAGAAGUCUCAAGGUUUGCCCAAAAAAGACCCAUAUAUUUAAAGUUUUAUACUAUAAGUCCAGAAUACCAUCAGAAUAUAGAAUACCAAGCAUUCUACAUGAUUUCUGUAGGUCAUAUUACAAAAAAUUUUAAAGUCGAAGUAGGAACAGAAUAUACAAAUGUUCCUCACAUAAAUGAAACCUGGAUCAGAACACGGAGAGCCAGAGGAAUAAAGGCUAUAUGGAGCAUAGCAAAGGAUUUAUAUAAGAGAAAUUUCAGAUCCAUCAUUAAAUUUCAAAAUUACAUCCUUAUAACUUCUGAGGAUGGACAUACACCUUCAAAUCUGUUACUAGAGUUCAUCAAUGAAAUAAGUACUAUGCGUUUCCCUAGUAGCAGCAAAACCACAGAACAAGCUUAUCAACUCAUGGAUAUAAAGCAGUGAUUGACAGGCUAUGGCCGACAGCAUAAAACAAAGAAAAGAUAAAGAUAUGGUGGACAAGAUAAAAGGUGAUGUCUGACAAAAGGAUACGAAGCAUGAAGAUAAAGAUUCGAAGAUAAGGCAUAUGGAAAAGCAACAACAAGACAAGAUAAAGUGGCUUGACAAGAUACGAAGCAUGAUAGACAAGAUAAGGAGCAUGAUAAAUCUACAGGAAGAUGCUUGAUAAUGAUGUAAAAGCACAAUAAUACAAGGACAAAAAUGUAACUUGCUUGAUAAUAAUGUAAGAGCCCAAUAAUACAAGGGCAAAAAGGUAAACAUAAACCCGAGACGACUUGAAUAUAAAUAAAGAGCAAUAAUCUCUAAGGGAUUAUUCAACCAUUUUUACAAUAAUUCCAUUGUCUUCUAUGAUCAUGAAUAGCUAAUUCUCUCAGCUCAGAAUCCUAAAUCGAUACAUCAUUAAUAAAAAACAAAAAAUCACCAUAGAAAGGAAAGAGAAACCUAAAUUUAUUCAACAUUUCUAAGCUCAACGAUCGCAUUCCAUACAGUAAGGCCACUCGAGUCCGCCGAUCCCGUUGAGGCAAGGAGGCCGUUGAGGGAGUAAGGACAGUAAGGCUGCAGGUCACUGGAGAAAGAUCGGAAGGCAAAGAAACAAGAAUAGCUUGGGUAAUAAUUCUCAAACCUUAUCUGUUGGUGGAAGUUUGUUGAUUAUUAUUGAUGAGGAGAUUUAUGGAGGAAGAGCUAAUUUCUUUGAAGUGAAAUAUUUUAAUGAACAACAAUAUCAUAUUAGGAAAUUCUAAGGAAUACAUGAUAAAUCCAACAACUAGAAUAACAUAUAAUGAUUAUACAAUGAUUAUAGAUUUCAAUUUAGGAUCUUUCAAACAAAGUUCUUAUCUUUUAAAUAAAGACGAACUUGUUAGAACUGAAGAACUACAAGCAGUAUAUGCUCUUGAAUUACCAAAGGAAAUAAAAAGAAAAAUAAUAAAUCAUGUAGAAAUAGAUACUUUAAAGCAUAACAUCAUCAUGCUAACUAUAGAACAAGGAAUUGACAUAGCUCUGGCAUAUACAGAACAUGAAAAUAGAGAAGCUGGACCAUCAUACAUAAACUACUUAGAAAAUUCUGAUAAUGAAGAACUUGAAUUAUAUGGUAUAUAGGCAAGCAACCCAUGACGUAAAUUGGAUAGACGAUCCCGAAUGGGCGUUAGUAUCCUCUGUACUUUGGGAUAACAAGCCACGUACCUAUAAUCAGUAUAGUUUAUAAUCAUGGAAAUUUAUAAUGAAACCAGAUAUUACACUAGUAUAAUAAAUAAUUUUAUAUAUUUUAUAAAAGUAGAAAUAUUCUAUUCAGAAAAUGUAACAGAAAGUUUAAAUAAUCAAACUUUAAAUCCUACAUAUAUUUUGGAAACUAAUAGUAGCUAUUACGACUUAUAUGUUCCCAUUCUUCCUAAUACAUUUCCUAGAACAAUUGAUGGAGAACAAGUUAUAGCUGUAUUUUUAAGAAAUAAUAAUAAUACAGGAUAUGAUAGAUAUGUGCUAUAAAUAAUAAAAACCUUUACAAAAAAAAAAAAUUUAUCUGUUUUUAGUAGUUUAAUUUUUAUCAUUUUUUCAGUUUAUUCAAUUUAUUUCAGUAUAAUUUUUAGUUUCACCGAAACAAAUGGUAUCAGAGCCAAAGUUCUGAAAUAAAAUUCUCACAAAAAACUUAAUAAUAAUUUAUUAAUGGACCCGAUACAAACAAUAGUUAAUAGCUUAUACACUUUAAAGGUAUAUAAUAAAGAAGAAAUAAAAAAUCUCAUUAUGGCUUUAAAAAUUGAUAAAAAUAAUAUUAGAAAUAUAGAACUCGAACUAACAGAAGAACUUAGAGAACGACAUAUAGACACAACAGGAGGAGAGAUAUUAAUAGAAAAGAAAAUGAAAUUUAUAGAUGAAUUUAUAAAAUUUCUAGUAUACUGGUAUAAAAAAGAAACAAUAUGAACCAUAAUCAACAUGCAUUUAAUAUAAUACAUGGAUUAGUAGAUAGUAUAGAUCAUAUGAUUUUAGGAUGGGAAAAUACAUUAAAUACAUAUAUAACUUUAAUAACUCAGAAAAUAGAUUUACUAGAACAAGAAAGAAUAGGAAUAAUAAAUUUAGGACCAGAAAUUUAUUCUGAAAUUAUAGAUCUAUAUGAAUUUGAUAACCAUUUAAUGUUAUUUAAAGAGGUAAUCAAAACCUUAGAAAAAAUAAGAAAUAGAUGUAGAAGGGAUGGAAGAAGACAAAUACAUCUAUAAUUAAUAAAUAGAAGGACCCAAGAAAAAUUAACCAGAAAAAGAAAAAGACAAAAAACGUAAGAUACAUUGAUCGUAACUUAGGUACUCCCUUAGAAUAAACUUAUCCUGUAACUAAAAAGAAAAAAAAGGCGGCGGUUAAAAAUUAAAAUAAAUAAAAGAACUAAAGAAGGAGCUGUAAACAGGAAAACAUAUACACACGUGUGAGUGAGAGAAGCUACCAAAACCUGACCCGAAACCCGACCCAAACCCGCAAGCCCGACCCGGCCAUAUCUCCAAUUUCCGGCCACCUCAUCGGCCGAGCAACGUACCAACCUGAAGCUUGAAGACCAUCAUACCCCAUCUGUCCUCGUCGCCGGAAAAUGGUUAGAACGCCGGCGAUCAAGCUCGAUAAGCGGCGGUAAAAUCCACCCCUUCUCGCCGUCGAUUCCGCCAGUUUUGGGUGACGUCACCGCCUGGAUCUUGAUCCUCAGAUCAUUCCCAUCAUUUUCCGACCAACCCCGCCACCUGAAACCGCCGUUUUGGCAGCGAACGACCGCCGGAAAGCUUGCGGCUUGGGAAACUCGAUCCGCCGCUUUUGCCGCGCGUGCAAGCUCACUGCCGGCACCAUUAGGCUCAGCGUGGCCGAACCUUUCAGGCUUGAGCUUCCCGGCUACUGUUGACUGAAUUUCGGUCACUGAUGACCGGUGAGGGCAAUCUCGUAAUUUUAUAUUUUGAGGGCGAUUUUGUAAUUUCGGAUCAUGUGGAGAUUUUACUUAUUCCGAAAAAUUAAGGAUUCGUUGUAAUUAGGAUUUUGAGGGUAAUUUGGUAAUUUUUAAUUCGGGAGUAUUUUAAUAAUGUACAAACUCAAGGGUAUUUUAGUAAGUUUUUUGGCACAAGAGUUAUAAAUUAUGGAUUGAUAUUGGUUUUGAGUUUAUUGCAUAAAUUUGGUCCUAAUUUCGAUUAAUGAAAAAAUAAUUAUGUCAUUUCCUUAAUUUAGGAGGAUCCACAAGCUAAUCAAUCCGUAGACGUGAGCGAUAAUUGAGUCUGAGCAUCGUCACUAUGAGUGAAAUAUACAAAACCUAUUUUUAUAGUUAAUUAUGAUAGUGAAACAUGUUCGUGAAAUGAGAAAUUUAAAUGUCUUGAUUCAAUAAAUUUCUCGAAAUGGAUUUAAGUUACGCAUUAAUAUUUUAUUAAAAUGUUUUGGAUUAUGAUUUUCCAUAUCGACUUUGGAAAAAAUAUUAUAAGUGUUUUAUAGACAAGAAAAGUGAUUUGGAUGUGAUAUAAAAAGAAAAUAGAUUUAAAGUAUGUUAAAUAGAAAGGAAAUGAGAUUUAUAGUAUGAUUUUAUGUUCAUGUAUAUGUGUAUAAAAUGUUGAUUGUAAAAUUAUUGGACAGUACCAUUCUUUGGUUGCAAUGAUACAGAUAUGAUGAGGCUUUUGGAGCCCGUUUAAAAACACAUAAAGGCUUUUGGCCGUGUGUUUGGGUGUUUCUGCCUUUUGAGGGCAUAUAUAUGUGAUAUGAUGAUAAUAGUGAUAUAGAUACAAAUAAUAAAGAUGAGAUACAAGCUUUUACAGGCUCGUCUAAGUACACACAGAAGCUUUGGCCCGUGUGCUUAGGCUCUUUUGUCAUUUAAGAACUAGAUUAUGCAUGCACAAAUAUGAUGAUAUGUGAGAUGACACUUUUAUGUCUAUCUGUGUAGCUCUGGGGCAUAACCGUACCUAGAUAAUACAUCAAUACCCAUCUGUUGAGGUCUGGAUACGGUGAGAUUAUUUCUUUGGGUACUUAUUUAAUGAUAAUUUUAAAUUUGUGUAUUUUAUAUGAUAUUGUAAUAUAAUUUCCAUGGUUAUUAUGUACGAUAUUACAUAUGUUCUUCAAGGUUAAUAAUCUGAUUUAAAUGUUAAAUGAUUUAUAAAUAUUUUCUCGUAUAUGGUUUGAUGAAAUCGAAUUUAAAAAUGAUAUGAUUAAAUUAUUUUUAAGUUAAAUUAAUUUUCAAAAAUCAUUAUCCACUGACCUCAUUGAGUUUUAUAUUCAUCAUGUUUUUAUUAUAUUUUUCCCCUCAAAAGGAGAUUGUAGGUACACCAAAUCAACCUAGGGACUGUAGAUAUUUUGAAUUUUGGGCACAUGAUAGUGUUACAAGAUAUAGAUGAUUUUUAUUAGGACAUCCUGAUCAUUUCAUUUUUCUUUUUUUGCGAUUGUAUAAUUUUAUUGUAUUAUUCUUUUGGGAUUAAGAAUAAACUAAUGUAUAUUAAUAUUGGUUAUAAUAAAUACGAAUACAAUAUUAAAAUAAAAAUACUAACUAAAAUAGCACAUUAAUACAAAUAAGAUAUUAAAAUAAAUAUAAUUAAAAAAACAAAAUAUAUAUGUCAUGCAAAUUAUUUUAAUAUUAAAGCCAUUAUCAACAUGUCUCAAUAGAUUUUAUUAAAACUUAAAUUUGUUAAUCCAAAAAUUUAUUUUUUAUUUAUUCUAUUAUAGACAUAACUCAAAAAAAGUAAUAUAUAUAAUAUAAUAUAAAUAUCGAUUUUAUAAAUUAUUUUGAACGUUAAAUACAUUUAUUUUAUAUUAUUAAUCUAUGAAACCAAUUUUAUUAAUAUUAAACAAAUCUAACAAAUUAGUAAUAUCAAAAAAAAUAUUGUUUAAUAUUAAAAUAAUUUAUAAUAUUUAUAAUAUUUUAUUUAAUGAACUAUUUAAUAUUAUAUUUCUAUGUGUUAUAAAAAUUUAUUUAAAGUCAAUUUCUAUGUUGUUGUAAUCUAAGAAUAUAAUCUUUAGAAAGGGGUAUGUGUGAUCAUUUGUGAGAGCAAGACGACCUAUGUUAUAUUUUAAAUAAAUCUUGGAGGCAUGGGUGCAUUUUUUCCUAAAGAAAAUAAAGACUUUAAAAAAACUUAACUUGAUUAAAGGACCCAGGGUUUAGAAUUCGUAAUAGCUAGCAUGAACAAAUAUCGUAUUCGGGGCAUCAAUCUUUGUUAUUAUUAUUAUUAUUAUUAUCACCAUCAUCAUCAUUAUUAUUAACAAUUACACAAAUAAGAAUAAUAACAAUAACAAUUAUAUAAUAAUAUUUUAAUUGAAGACAAAAACAAAAUUAUGAAGUUUAAGUGGGGUAAAAUUUGGAGCUCAUAGGAAUAAGAACUUGACUCCCAAAGGUCCAUAAGAAUCAAUUCUCAUUCAUUAAUCCUAGAAACGUAUCGGCCCCCCACAUUUUAUUUUCGUUCCUUUUUCUAUUUUUAAAAAUAAACAUUAUCGAUCAUUCUCAUUUUGAAUUUUAAUUUCAGAAUCUAACUAGUAAGCACAUCAUUAAUGUAUCACACGAGAGUAAUAAGAGUAGUAAUAGGCCGGCGAAGACAACGGUUAGGAAAAUAACUACAGCAAAGCGGUGGAAACAAAGUGUUCCAUGCAAGUACGGGUUCGGAAUUAGAUUUGUCUAGGAGUGUAAAAAAUAAUUAAAUUGAAUAACUGAGUUACGUAAGACAAACAUUCAUGUAAACUUCUAAAACAAAUGCUAGAAUACAAAACUGCGAGGAAACUUACCGCUCUGAGCGCGUGGGAGGCACUGAAAGAUGAUGAAAUUUUACUUAGAUUACAAUUAGGACAGUGUUUAUUUUUUAGAGUGGGAGUGAGGAGUGUGGAUUCCUCCCACUUUAGUGUUGACUUCAACAAAAUAGAGAAGGAUUGGGAAUCCCACUCCGUGGGCUCCACUCAUUUUUGGAGUGGGGAGUGGGAGUGGGACUCCCACCUCUCCCUUUUCUAUUUUUUUUUAAAUUUAAUUUCAUAAAAUAAAAUAAUUUAUAAUUAUAUUUAUUUAAAUAAUAUUAUUAUAUUUAACUAAAUAAUAAUUUACAUUGAUUAUAAGUUAAAAUUACUUUAAAAUAAUAUUAUUAUAUUAAUAGAGAAUUAAUAAAUAUAUGCUAUCUUUAUUUAAUAAUAUAAUAUUAUUAUAUUUAUUUUAAAAAUAACAGUACUAUAUUUAUUUAAUAUUAAUAAUUAAUAAUAAUAAACAGUUUAUUCUAAGAAAAUAUUAAUUUUGUACUAAAUAAUAUUAUAUUAAUAAAUUUAAUAUAAAUAUAUAAAAUAAAAUAAUGUUUCAUUUUAUAUUUACCCUUCUUUUUAUUAAAUUUACUACAACUAUAUUUAAUAAAUAUUUAAAUAAUAUUAUUAUAUUUAACUAAAUAAUAAUUGUGUUUGAUUCUAAGUUUAAUUUACUUAAAAAUAAUAUUAUUAUAUUAAUAGAGAAUUAAUCAUAUUACUAUAUACAAUCUUUAUUUGAAAAUAUAAUAUUAUUAUAUUUAUUUAAAAAUAAUAGUAUUAUAUUUAUUUAAUAUUAAUAAUUAAUACUAAUAAAUAGUUUAUUCUAAGAAAAUAUUAAUUUCAUACUAUGUUAAUAGUAAAAAUAUUUCAUUUAUAUUGCCCUUAUCAACAAUUUUUAAUUUAUAUAAUUAAAAUAAAAAAAAUUGUGAUGUUCAUAAUUAAGAAUAUUAAUAAUUAUUAUAAAUUUACAAAUAUAAUAAAAUAAAUGUUUAUUCAUUAAAUAUAUUUUUUAUUAACUUUGUGAUUAAAAACUAUAAUUCUUUACAUAAGGAUAAAAUUGUAAUUUGAAAUUAUUUACUCCCAAUUCAAGACAAAGUAAACACAUAAAUUAGAUUCUGAUCUCUAUUCCAUGCUUCUAUUCAUGUGCAAGUAAAUAACCUACUCCCACUCCCACUCUACACUCCCAAUCUUAAAAUUCUCACUGCUCAAGAUUCCCACUCUAAUUCAAAAAGUAAACGCAGCCUGUGUUUCUUUCAAAGAAAUCAGUUAGAGGAUUUCAUGUUUUCUAAUUAAUUCUUCUUCUUUUGUUGGCCGACAGCAAGUCUUGUCAGCGAUAUUUGCAAGAGAUAAUUAUAAAGGACGGCGAAUGGAAUAAAAGACAUGUUCAACUGUAACAAAUGCUUCGAUAACGUAGAGUCCUAGACACCUAAAGCAAUUGCAUUAUCUCUAAUUAUUUAAAUAAUAAUAAUUUAGACUACUUAAUGAAACAAGACAUAGAAGAUACAUGGUAUGAACCAACCUCUCCACUGAUCAUCUAUUUUGUCUUCUUUUUCUCUUCUUUUUCUCUUCUUCAAGUUCUUUUAGUACGUGACGCGGCAUUUUAUUUUGUUUAUUCAGUGUCGAUAAAACUGUGUCGGAGCAUCUUCCAAGAAAUUAUAUAUGAAACAUAAAUUAUAAGUAAGUACAGUAAUAUUAUAUUCAUAAAUUAUGUCUACAAAUAGAAAGUAAAUUAACAUAACAUCAAUGAAAUAAUAAACAUAUAAAUAAUAAUGAUAGAUAAAAAAAAAUGUGAUAUGAGCCUAAUUAGAUAAAUCAGUAAUGCCUUAAUAAACAAUAGUAUAGUUUAUGGUAAGGCUAGCCUUUUGAAGAGAUGAAAAUCCGCCAAACAUCGUUUCCUCAAAAAAUAGGAACUUUUAAAACCAUAUGCAUAUGAAAAUUUAUCAAAAAUAAACUUUAUUAUACACUAAUUGUUCCGUGCCAUUUUCCUGAAUACUUUUUGUAUAUUUUAGAAACACAUACCUAAACAAUCUGAUCAAGCAUGAAAUCAUUUUCGAUUCAUGGAAGACAACAACUUUGGGGAUGAUAUUUUGCUCUUGUGGUAAUUGAAGAUGCAUACUUACUGAAAUAUUCAGAGAAUAGUAAGUAGGCUUCUCCUUUUGUAUGAGUUCACUCAAUGAAUCUUUGAGGUUGUGGUUCCUCAUCACCUCAACAUAUGCAGUAAGGCUUCGCCUUGAUGUUGUUGCUACAACCAGUGGCGGACUCAGAAACUAAAAUGAGGGGGGGCUUAGUUUAAAA
This 70820-nucleotide long non-coding RNA is filed under the name Citrus x clementina. RNAcentral's name for it is "Citrus clementina (C. clementina) long non-coding RNA (CCLE_LNC004222)". Lineage: Eukaryota; Viridiplantae; Streptophyta; Magnoliopsida; Sapindales; Rutaceae. The record is from RNAcentral.